CUCGUUGCAUCUCUCUUUUAGAACGGGACAAUUACAAAUGUCUAUUGUUUUUAAUUUGGUGAGGCAUUUCAUAGCUUCAGCUGUAGGAAAAUAAUUCAGAUUCAUGCAUCUGUCUAUACAUAGGGACUGAAGAGAUGCAAAGUUCCCCAAAGUUCCCCAACCACUCGGGAGAUAAGAAAAGGUUUAGCUUCUAUCUGAUUUCAAUUAUACAAUUGACCGCUGUGGUUGAAUAUAAUCAUAUUAUCAUUAAAUCCCAAUAAAAACAAUAACUCUGAGAACUAAAGUUUUGAAGAAAAGGGGUUGUAUCACUGUUCAUCAAGUUUACAAAUCCAGGAGAUAAACAAUUUACAAUUUAACACAAUGGGUUUUAUUUAUUGCUGAUUAAUAGAACUCUACCAAAUUCAAUAACACAAUAAUCAAAAUUCAGUUCCAAAAAUAACAAUAGUUUAGAGAAUUGAAGAAUUGAAGAAAAGGUGUUGUACUUGUGUUCGUGGAAUGGCAUUGCCUUCCCAGCUGGAGCCAUGGCUCUCGAACUGAACCCUCAAGCUUUUGGCCGGUACUACUCUGCAAAAACAAAAUCAGGAAAAUUUAAUAAUUUCAGAUUUGGUCAUAACCCACCAAAUUAAUUUACAAUCACAAACAAAAAAAAGGGAAGAAAAUAAUGAGUUAAGUGGGACAAACAAUAAAGAAGGGAGAAUCCACUUUACCAACGAGGUCCAGGCGUCGGAGAUGUUCCUGGGUUUGAACAUUUAUACGGAAAAGCAACUGCAAAUAUACGGAUAGAGGGAAUUUGAGGUUUGUAGUUCAUCUACUCGGCAAUUUCUUACCAUUGAUACACCUGAGUAGUGAGACAGCUUCAGAUAAUACUAUUCAAUUCCACAGGUAGUUAUAAACCAUAAUCUUAUAAUUUCUCAAAAUAAAAAUCAAUGGGACUAAAAACAAAUGGUACAUAUCAACUUUGAUGAUUUCUCUUAUUUUCCCUCUCUUCCUUAGCAACCAAAUAGCAAUUGAAAAUUACCAAAAACUGAAAAGAUUGAAGUACCUGGGCCCGUUGCAAUGCCUGGGUUGCCAUCUCCACUUAGUGUAAAAAAAAUCAUGGCGGGCAUUUUCGGAGCAGCUAAACCCUUCAUCCACAAACCACAAUGUAAGUAAAAAAUCAACAAAAUAAUUUGUAAUUGCAUUAAUCCGUUGAAAAAAAUAUGCUAAAGUGCAGCAGCCCAACCCGCCUGUUUUGCAGAUAUGAGACAGAGAGAGAUGAGAGGAAUUAAUGCAAAACCCAGCCCAACACGCGUGAGAGCUGAUCCGAGGUCCAAAUGCAGCAGCCCAACCCGCCUGUUUUGGGUGAAGCACAGCCCACACCCGAUGGCACAACCGUAAUUAACUCAAAAUCGAAUUCCAAUUUCGGAAGCAAAAUGAAUACUUUAGUUUCAGUCCCAACUUUAGACUUGAGUAAUAUGCAUCUGGAUAAAUCUAAUCAAAAGAGAGAAGCUUACCAUGAAUCUGGUUCAAUGCAACUUCAAACAAUUGGGAAUUGCCGUUACUCAUCAUUCGCCCCUACUCGAAAUCUGUCUCAAGGGACAAUUAAAAAAUAACAACUUUGGUGAAUGCCAGAGUUCACAAAAAAUGUUAAGAAAGAUCACUUCUAAAUGAUAUCUUAUGGUUUCAACUAAUUGACUAUAACAAAUGGUAUCUUGAAAAACGUUACAAAUACGAAGAACACUUCAAAAUUUAGACACGAAUUUUUAUUUUAUUUUUUUCUUGAACUAAAAAUUAUAUAUUUACUUCAAUAACUGACUAAUUAACUAAAAUUCGUAGAGAAGAGAACAAUCAAAAGAGAUGUGAGAACAUGAUUGGAAUAGGUAUUUAAUCAGAUGCAUAUCAUGAUGUAAAUAUAUCUUAUCACAAUUUUGUAUUGGGGAUUGAAAUCUACCAUGUACAUUAAAUUGUAGUUUCAGGAAAACGAAAUAGCAACAUACAUACCACAUAACAAGUGAUUCACUUUAAUGAAAAGGUAAGGGAAGAAAAUAGAAUACAUUGUGCGUAAUUGAUUUAAGAACCGGAAAAGAAAAAACAUACCAAUAUUUGGAAUAUGAGAAAUCUUGUGCCAUUCCGAGCCGCUCUCCUUGUUGUAUCCCUCUUUUAGAACGGGACAAUUAACAAUGUAUAUUGCUUCUAAUUUGGUGAGGCAUUUCUUAGCUUCAGCUGGAGGUAGACACUUCAGAUUCCUGCAGUUACUUAUCCGUAGGGAUCGAAGAAAUGCAAGGUUCUCCAACCACUCCGGAAGAGCCUCCAUUCCGUUAAAGUUCCAUAUUUCCAAAUGAGCUAGAGAAGUCAAGUGUUUAACUUGUUCAGGCAGAGACCGAAGCUUAGGCCAACCAUACAAAUGUAAUGAUUCAAGUUGUGGAAUAACCUCAAAAGGAGGGAAUGAAUCGAGCUCCUUCCAAAACCCACCAAUUAUCAAUUCCUUCAAGCUGGUGAGGCUUUUAAAUCCACUGCGCAGUUUUUUUAACUCAAGAUAAUCAACCUUCUCCAACUCACGGAGGUGUGUGAGGUUUUCUAAACUAGGAAUAGAGUGGAGGGAUGGUGGGAGGCCGUGAAUCUCAGUGUAUCUUAGCUUUUCACAAUGAGAUAUUGUCAAAUCCUGAAGAGAGGUACAAUAUUCUAACCCACUCGGCAGGCUUAAUAAUUCAGGACAGUUGCCAAUAACCAAUUUACAGAGAGAUCGGAGGCCCUGUUCCAAUGCAUGGUCCUGUUCAAAUUGAAUGGACGUCAGCUUGGAGCAAUUUCUGAUGGUCAACUCACGAAGAGAGGUGCAGCAUUCAAGUCCCUUAUGUAGACUGGAUAACUCAUUACAAUCACAAAUAGACAAAGCACGGAGAGAAGUGAGCUCGUACAUGUCUGGAAUGUGGUUUAGACUCUUGCAAUCAGAUAUAAAAAACUCCUUAAGAGAGACAAGUUGUUGUAGCCCAUCAGGCAGGCGCUCUAGAUUAUGACACCCGGAAAUAUGCAAGGACUGAAAAGAAAGCCAACAACCAAAUACAUCAUCCGUUGUAAUACAGGUUAAAUCCGGACAAUAAUUUAUCUCCAAAUAUGCAAGAUUCUUGUUGUUUUUAAACAUCCCUUCUGGCAGACAACCAAGUCCCUCUACUUCUUAUUUUGAGAGAAGUAAGAGCGGUCAGGUUGCUGCUUAUAUUUGCUAUUGGCAUGCCGCUACCCAUGGAAUGUAUCUCUAACUUUUUCAGAGAUGGAAAAUGACUGGGAGCACUUCUCAAUUGAUCGCAGUAGGUCAGAGACAGCUCCUCGAGGCAUGGAAAGAGCACAACGUUUUCUGCAGAUUCCUUCCAUUCAAUUAGAUUCUUAGGUUCAGAGAUAUGUAAUCUUUUUAAUGAAGGAAAGGGACUCCCCAUCAUCCACUUCUCACCCAUAAAGUAUAUAAUCUUCAAAUAUUCCAGUUCAGGGUGUGCUGGUAGAAGACCUUCUAGUACAUCCUCAUCAUUAUUGUUGAUCAUAGACCUGUCUUCAUCCCAUUCAGGGUGUGCUGGUCCAAGGCCUUCUAGUACAUCCUCAGCAUUAAUGCUUGACCCUUUCUCAUAUCCCCAUCGAAAGACUAAUUCACGCAGAUUUGUCUUCUCUGCUAGUUUUGCUUUCUUCGCUUCCUCUCCAUCUCUCACAUGCUCUAGAUUAAAUAUGGAUAAUCGGCCUUUCAAUUGCUUUAAGCCAGCCAACUCCUCUAUUCCACGACCUCUCUCCUUACCCACACUGAAAGAAGGUAAAGCUUGGAGAUUAGUCAAACGCCCAAUCCCAAUUGGAUAUCUCUCCGCAUCAAAUGAAAAAUCAAAAUGUCUCAAGUUGAUCAAAUUUUGCAGUUCCUCUGGAAAACUUGUGACAUAUAGCAUCUUCAACGUCUGUAGAUUAUAAAGCUUGCCAAUAGAUUUGGGGAGCUUUUUUAUCCAUGUAUUGGAAACAUCAAGAUACCUCAAGCAUUUCAACUUUUUAAUUGAAAUUGGCAACUCACUAAUUUCAGCACCGCGUAAUUUUAAGACGCGCAAACCUUUAAAUCUUGAGAAGAUGCCACCAAGUUUAUCACCAUUCAAAUCUCCGUUUGGAAUUACAUGCAGUGCCGAGGUAGAGAGCUUUGCCAUAUGUCGAUUCUCAUCGGAGUCCUUGCUCUUUGAUUUUGACACAUGUUCUGCAAGAUCGUGCACAAGAUCAUGCAUCUUGCAACUGUAAACAGUAUUUUCUUCCAUUUCAACAUCUUGAAAAAAGGAGUUCUCCAAUAGAAUAUUAAAAUAUUCAUUCCCUACAUCCUCCAUACUUUUGUUGGGACAAGGUUGGAGCAAUCCUUGAGCCAUCCAAAGUUGGAUUAAAUCCUCCUUUUUAAUAAUCUCAUCUUUGACGAACAUUGAACAAUAUGCAAAACAUUGUUUCAAAGAUGGUGAUCUCAAUUCAACAAAGCUCAACUUCAAAACUGAAAGGAUUGUUUUUUCUCCUCCUUGCAAAUUCCUUAUUGUACUUUCUCCUUCUUGCAAAUUCCAUAUUGUACUUUCUUGAAUUGACUGCCAUUCACCACUCGGUUUACGACGCAUCAUAUCUCCCAAUACCUGUUGGAACACGAGUUUGAAUGUCUAUCAAUUGAGAAUUCAUAGGCUAAAAAUUAACGACAUGCAAUAACUAUGUUAACUGAUCACUAGCAUAUUUUUAAAAAACAAAUAGAAAUAUCAUCAAAUAAGGUCUUGGCAAUGAUUUGUGGGAGCUCCAUGUAAGUGUUCUACUUCUAAUGUGAAUGAGACCAAACUAUGUUUGGGAUAUAUGUAUUUUGGUAUAUAAGUAAUUGAACAUAUAUUAUUAUUGGACUUUAACAUAUUUCAUAAUUAAAUAUUAUGAAGACCAGAAUAAUUAAGAAAUCAUUUUGAAUUGUGAAGUAGUUAAAACCACGUCGACAACUGCUAGUAACGAACUCUAUGAUAGGAGGAGUGGUUAUUCUAAAAACUCCUCUACACCUAAAAAAAAAGCUGUGGCCUUUCUAAAAAAGGUGACACCUGUCCACCCAUUUAAACACCUUAACAACGUUAACUCGCUGCCAUCUCCUUUGCGUCUCACCGACUGCCCUUGUCGGCUUCCAAAAUUCCUCAAGACAAAUGGGGAUAUACGAGCCGUUCCGGCAGGUCGGUAUAUGGAAGGAAACCUUGAGAGGUGAUGACAACUGUAACACAGCUGCUUCUACAAUUACACAAGUGGAUUCUGGGACCGUAAACAAGGGGAUAUUUUCUCACUCUACUCCAACCUCUCUCCUCCCCAAUUUUUGAGUAAAUUGUAGCUAUGAUCCCUUAACUUUAACUCAAUUGGAGCAAUGGUCCCUCAACUAAAAAUCCAUUACCUUUGGUCCCUCAACUUAUCAAAAUGUGCAGCUAUGGUCCCUCAACUAAAAAUCCAUUACCAUUGGUCCCUGAACUUUAAUUCAAGUGGAGAAAUGGUCAUUUAACUUUAACCCAAUUGUAGCAAUGGUCCUUUCAAUAUAACUCGUUUUGACAAAUGUUUUGACAUAGUUGACGAAAAGAACCAUAAUUAUACACUUUGAUGAGUUGAGGGACCCUAAUUGUAUAAAUGGUCAUUCCAACAUAGCUUAUUUUGACAAACUUUUGACAAAAUUGAUGAAAAUGACUAUAGCUACACAUUUUGAUAAGUUGAGGGACCAAUGGUAAUGGAUUUUUAGUUAAAGGACUAUUGCUCUAAUUUGAUUAAAGUUAAGGGACCAUUUGUACAUAAAGCGCUUUUCUGGUAAUUCCCUAUCCCUCUGCCUUCUCAAUUUUUCCUCAUGAGUUUUUUCAAAUUCAUAUUCUUCGACAAUCCAGAUCCUCCAUACCCCAAAUUUGAAUCCCAAAUGGGGUCUCAUAAGAGCAGUUCCAGCGGAGGGCAUUUUGCCCAGCACCCAGCUGAAAAACUGCCCAGCACCCUGUGAAACCCCUCCACCAGACCCAAUUGAUUGGCACCCAGUCCAAGCUGGUCUCUAGCCCAGUCCAAAAUUGAUUGAGGUGUUGCCCGGUACAUCUAACUCAUGCUGACGCCAGUUCCCGUUUUCGGGCCUAAAAGGUGAAAGAAUAACCAACUAAGCACAUGGAAAAGCAGAGACAAGCAAGAACCACCACCACCGCCACUAAUGCUUUCACACAUCUCACACUUCUCACACGUCUCACACAACACUAGGUUCCGAAUCCUCUUCUUUUUUUUCAACAAAAAUGGCCCAACUGUUUUAGGCAACCAUUGAAGAAAGAAAGAAGGAAAUGGUGGGCGUGGGUGGAAAAAAUUGAACUUUUUCUAUGUUUUCGUUUUGGGGUAUGAAAAUAAAAUUACAACUGAAAUGGGUUUCAUGUGUAAGCCACGUUUUCUGGGUUGAAUUUUGGUACUUGUUUGAGUUCCUGGGUGUGGAGCACCUCCAUGGCGAGCUCCGGUGAGGAGACAACAACGAGGUGCCUGCGGGCGUUUGUGUGGAGCUCCGGCGAGGUCCCAUCCGUUGGUGUGGAGCACCUCCACUGCGAGCUCCCAUUUUUGGGGGAGGAGGUCCAUUUCAGGUGCAUCAGCUCAUUUGAAGAAGAAAACAUGGAGAAAAGGGGAAAAAAAAGAGAGGGUAGAGAGAAAGUGCCCCGGAGAUGAAAUGGAAGCAGGAGAGAAAGAGAUUAAAUGAUAAAAUAUUAAUUGAUAUGAAUAAAAUAAUAUAAUAUUAGAUUGAUUGUGUGCCAGUGCAUUUUUAGGAGUGGAGAUGUUUUGGCAUAUUACUAUUUAUUGGAGUCUAUUACUGUUUAUUUGAGUGGAUAAAUGCGUUGGGCGCUGGCAUCCAGUCUUAGGGGUGGAAUUGCUCUAACAACCCAGAACAAGAGCACCCAGAUCCUAGUCCCCACCGACCCAUCUCAAUUGCACGGGUGUGGAUUUUCGGCGAUAUGAUCAGGACCAAAGCGACCAAAUCCGAGUCCGUGCGAUUCAGGUGACCCUAGCACUUACUGCCAGGAGAGGAGCCUGAAGAUUUGGAUGAUUACGAAAAGUGGAAUUGGGUUUGAUUUGGAGAAGGGUGAAAGAAAUCGAGAGGCUUUUCGAAGAAAACGGAGAUAACAUGGACUUAGCGCUGUUAAGGUGUUCAAGUGCGUGGACAGCUGUCAUGUUUUAAGAGAGGCCGCAGUUGCACAGGGUUUGAACUUUAGGUCCAGCAAAUCAUUGUUCUCAUCAUAUUAUUUUCAUUUGUUUGUCAAAAUUACCCCUCAAUUAACAUUAUCCUUUAAUUCUAGAUUUACUUGUAUUACGAAAUUAAUUAUAAUUGAUUAUUUAUCAUUAAAAGUAAAGGAAAACUAAUGAAAAGAGCUUGAAAACUUUGAGUUUUAAUGAUAAUGACAAAAUAAAGGGUAAAAUGAAUAGUACCAAGUUUGACUUUUUAGUGUAAAAAUGUGAUUUUUUCGUUAAAAUGAACAGUACUGUGGGCUUUUCGUUAAACCUCUCUAAAAGUAAUCCCUUAAUUGUGGGAUUAGUUUUAAACAAUAUUAUCUCCUCCCAAAUAAAUUCCGUACUACUAGCCUAUUUUGCAUCGUCUUCAUCUUCCUCUAUUCCAUCUUUUUAUUUUCCUCGUCCUUCACUAAUCUCUUUCAGAGUUAUUUUUUCAUCUUCAUACACUUAUCAUAUUUGUUAUCAUAUGAGUUAAUGUUUUUUUAUUUGAAAGUGGGUAGAUUAAGGCAUUCGAAACUUCAAAUUUAAGGAAUUUAAAUAUAUUUUUAUCUUUUACUCUAAGAAACAAAACGGGCAUAAUAAAAAAUAAAAUGAAAUUGGACUUAAUCCGAAAGCAGCUGAAUUUUUUGGACAUGGAGUAAAAUGCCCAAAAAAAAAACAAGGCGUAUUCAUAUGUUCGUCCUAUUAAAAACAAAAUCGUAAGGAUCUCAGAGAAGAGAGACCAAAGUUGGAACUCAAUUCUGUAGGUACGAACUGGUAUCAAUUAGGGUUUAUUCCUGACUAGAUUUUUUGACUAGUGAAGCAUGGUUGAUUUUAUUGGUUUCGAUAGUGCUCAUAUAUAUUAUGCUUUCACUUCAUUCAUUUUAUGAACAAAUAAGAAUAAGAAUAGAAAACAUGUAACAACUUCAAAAAACUAAUAAACAUAAAUACCUUUGCCACCAAUGGUACACCUGCACAUUUUUUGGCGAUUUCCCUUCCCAUUCGCUCUUGAUCUUCGGUCACGGAAGCACUCCCAUUCCGAAAUGCCCUAUCCUUUAAUAUGCGCCAACAUUCGUCAUCCGAUAAUUUUUCCAAAUCACGCCUGGAAAGUGUUUCCACAAUUGAUGCAACACUAGCACUGCGGGUAGUGACAAGGAUGCUGCUUCCUUGGGUAUCUUCAACACUUGACAAACAACUCAUCAAAUCAUUCCAUUUAUGAGAAUCCUCAUUCCAGACAUCGUCGAGAACGAGAAGAUAUCGCUUUCCUUUCAAAUCUUCUUGGAGAUUUUCACAUAUUGUCGCUUUACCCUUAAUCCCAGCCUUUUCCGGUUUAAUCUUUUCUAAGAUCCCGCUUAAAAUCGCCGUGACAUUGAAAGGAGUAGAUACACAUAUCCAUAUUUUUGUAUCGAACCGUCCUAUCUCGGGAUGAUGAUAAACUGAUUUAGCCAAAGUUGUCUUGCCCAGGCCUCCCAUUCCCACAAUGGCCAUAACCGAAAUAGAAUUCUCCUUAUUGUUGCGGGAAUUUAUCAGGGUUGUAGCUAUCUCCGACACAGCCUCCUCCCUUCCAACAAUGUACUUCUCAUCUGGAUCAAAGACAGAGCCGGUUACCCUGUUGUCAGGUACUCUUAUACCAUCAUGAGACGUUGCAUCCAUUGUUUUCGUGUCAACUAGCCCCAAACCAGUUGCCUCCUCCCUCAGAUUGGCCAACAAUGCAUUGAUUUUCUUGAUUUUGCGUCCCAUAUUGUGUCGAAACGCAAUGGGAUUGUGGUGUGAAAAGAAGUUGAGCACCUUUUUCUCCAUUCGGUUUUCAAGUUCCACCUGACGCCGGAGAACUUCGUAUUCGUAUUCGUCCAGCACUUGAUCAGCAGCUUGAGCUACUUCUUCAAGAUUCUUCACCCAAAUUUGCACCGCUUCGCCCCGAUUCUGCGAAUGCUGGGCCGCAUCUCGCAGCAUAGCUUGAAUCUUGAACAAUGAUUGCCGCAGCCGUGCGACUUCUCCUUUGAAUCCCCAGAGGAGACUGAAUUCUUGCUCGGCUAGUGAAGCCACCCUAGUCAGUAUCCCCUCGGCAGCAAAAGUAACAAGUUCUGCCAUCUUUCCUUGCAAACUAUUGAACUCGAAGAAGACAGUGAAUAAUCUCAGUUGAGAAAAACCAACAAGAAGACUGAGGGUAGUUUACAACAUGGAAUUAUUGAAUUGAAUAAUUGUGAACUCACAUGCUUCACCGGCCCCACAGGCUUGAGUUCACAACAUGGAAUUAUUGAAUUGACUUAUUACAGCAUGGAAUUAUUGCAUUGAAUAAUUGUGGGUUGGCCCCAGCACGUGGGUUGUCUGCACAAGAGGUAGAACCAAAAAGAACAAAAUAAGAAGAAUGACUAAUUGUCCACUGAAUUAUUGCAUUGAAUAAUUGUGGGUUGGCCCCAGGAACAAAAUAAGAAGAAUGACUAAUUGUCCACUGCAUUAUUGCAUUGAAUAAGUGGGUUGGCCCCAGCACGUGGGUUGUCUGCGCAAGAGGUAGAACCAAAAAGGACAAAAUAAGAAGAAUGCCAAUUAAGCGCAUAGGUAGGAAGAAGAUUGAUGAUGUUGACGGCUACAAGGGCAGCUUCAACCCCGAAUUCAUGAGUGUGGAGUAAGGUCCGGAUUGAAGUGGCUAUAUACGAUGAAGCUUAUGUUCGGCAAGCUCAUUAUGUUAAGGAUUAUGGAGGCAUGAGUAGCGCUAGGGGUGGGUUCAAAAAACCGAAAACCGAAAAAAACCGAAAACCAAACCGGUCCGAGGCCAAAAAAAACCGAACCGAAACUGUCAAACCGAACCGAACCGAAUCUGGUCAGUUCGGUUUCGGUUUUUGAGGUUCGGAAACCGAACCGAACCGAUAUAUAUAUAUUUAAUUAUUUUUUUCAAUAUUAUAAAUAGUUUAGUCAUACAAUCAUAACAAAACAAAACCUGUUGCCAAGUUGGUUUCAGGGAAAAUUUUCAAGUUGCAGCGCAAGGGUUCGAACCCUUAUGCCUCCAACAUUUCAGAAAAGUUUUUUAAUUUUUUUGAGAAAUCAACAAAACCCUUUAAGUUAACCCUAGCCACUAGCAGCCACACCUUUUAUUCAUUCCCCUCUUCUCUCUCUCGUUCCCUUCCCUGCCUCCAGUGUAACCCUAACCCAGUAACCUUCUCGUGCAGCCGAGCCUCCUCUCUGUCUUUCUCAAACUCUCUGUCUCUCUUGGUCUUGAAUCCCAGGCGACCCGCGACGGCGCGACCCUUCUCACUCUCAAUCUCUCACACCUCGCCCUCGCCGUGAGCUUCUUCUUGCCGUUUCGAGCCCCAAAAAUCAAACGUCGCGGCAAACAGGCGCUGAAAAAUGGAUGGGGGGAGUUCCGGCGCUGCUUCCGACGCUGCAAUCGAAACCCUAUGAACCAGAGGAUGGUGCUUCGGCGACCUCGAACAAGUGAAGGCGAUGAUCCUUAUCCACUCCGCCUUGUCCGAUGACACGCGUACUGUGGUGGAUUCGGUGGAGUUGGAGCUCACCAACAUGGACCUCAAAUCCAUCUCCUCCAGGUCCUUGCCCGACCCGCAUACCCUCCGAAAGUCCUCUCACCUCCUCGGCCCCAAAGUCCUCCAGGUAUUGACUCCUCACAAGUUUUUCUUUCUGUAUGUUUACAUAUUCUUUUUUCUGUGUGUGUCGAACUGGUGGUUAAACAUGAGAUUUUUUAUAAAGUACAUACUUAUAUCUGGUGGUUGGACUAUGUGGUAUUCAAUUUUGUUCUGGAUUCUCGAGGAAGGUAGACCUGUUUAGUAGCAUACUGCUUUUAUGUAACAUAUAGCUAAGAUUUGUGCUGAAGCAAUGUUGGUGAAUCAGAAAAAGCUUUUGCAGUAUGGUGCUAAAUUUUUACUUUUACAGACAGUAAUGAUGAUCUGAUAAGGAAAUUUUAGCACUUGCAAAGGAACAUAGUGAUAGUAUAAGCAUGAGCAACUCUUGUUGAAGUUUUCUGGUUUAAGAGACCAAGAAACGCUUUUAAAUUCUGAAAUUCUAGUCAUUAACAUUAUGUAAAUUAGUUAAAGUUUUCGUAUUGAAUUUGAAUGCCAUUUCCCUACUUGCCCCUGUUUUGGGAUCAGAACUCACUUGUUCCAGGCUUGUACCGGUGAUAGUCACUGGCACUGCAUCAAAAGACAGGUAUAGAUUAGAAGCUAUUAAGUUAAACUACGCUUUUUGUUUGAUUUAGUUUGCACGGUAGGGCUGAGAAUUUCUUCUUGUAGGGUACCAAACAUCAAGUUCAAUGUGGCUAAGGUGUUGCAGUCGAUUAUUCCGAUAGUUGAUCAGUCAGUAAGUAAUAUAGAUCUUUUCAUUUGAUAGUCCUUACGCAAAGGAGCAUAAUUUUCAAAAUACAAUACUGAAAUCGAGUUAAAGCACUGAAAGCACUUAUGCGUAACACGCUUUGCACAUGUGGUGGAGAAAACUAUUCGUCCUUGUUUGCUUGAGCUUAGUGAGGACUCACACCUCAGUACAACAUAAACCUGAUGUUUAUGCCCAAACAAAUAUCUAUGACGAGCAUCAGCGAUCACAAUGGGCAUGGCGUGUGUGUGUUGUGUUAUGUUGAAUAACCAAAAAAGGAUGACUCUGAAGUGACUUUGAAUGUAAACUUUCAUAUUUUCAAUUUUUUUUAAAAAUUUUUGGAGGAAGAAAAAAAAAAAAACCGAAAAAAAACCGAAUCUGAACCGAAAAAAACUGAAAAAAUUUGAACCGAACCGAACCGAAAUUUCGGUUCGGUUUUGAUUUUGGGAAAAAACCGAACCGUUGAUAACCGAACCCAGCCCUAAGUAGCGCUGCUCAAUGCUUAACUCAUGACAAAAAGUAGAAAAAUGAUUGACUAACACACUUAUUAUCAUUUUGAAGAACCUGAAUAGCAGCAUGAAAAAUAUUGCGAACCAUAGCCACAAAGGUUUUAAAGUGAUCAAGAUUUCCGAUUUUUGUUCCUUGGGAUAGAUAAAGGAGUAGCGGAAAAUUUUAACAGUGAAUAAAACAUAAUAACGAAACCACCAAAAGAAAUAAAGUAAUAGAGGAUAAAUCUUAUCCUUACAUUGGCCUUGAAAAAGCAAGAAAUUAGCACGCAAGCCAUAAAUUUGAUAGAAAUUAGGAGGAAAACAAAAGGGAAAAUUAGGUUCACAUCCUUUUUUUUGUUACUUCAUUGAUUAAAAUCCUAUUCAUUUUCAAUUUUUGAUCAAGGUCCUUGGGUAUUAAUAACAUCAUUAAUUAUUUGAAUAAUAAAAUAUUUUUAUUUUUAAAUAUAUUCCUUUAAUGUUAAAAAUGUUACAAUUAGUAUAUUUAUAUUUAUGGCUAAAUUUUUAUCAUAUAUUAUCAUUAAUUAUUUGAAUAAUAAAAUAUUUUUAUUUUUAAAUAUAUUCCUUUAAUGUUAAAAAUGUUACAAUUAGUAUAUUUAUAUUUAUGGCUAAAUUUUUAUCAUAUAUUUUUAUUUUUAGUUUGUACCUAUUUUUAAUUUGCAAAUAUUUUUUAAUUUGUACCAAUUUUCUUUUCAUUUUUAAUUUGUACCCAUAUAUAAGUUUCCUUUUGUGCUCAUAUUUUUUAAAAUUUUAUUUGUGUUUGUACCCAUGUGUAUACCGUCACGUGACAUUGUAAAUUUAAUCAAUAAUAGAAAAAUUUCAUAUGGUAUAUUUAUGUUUUUAUGCCUAAACUUUGUAUCAUAUAUUUAUAUUUUUAGUUUGUACCCACUUUUAAUUUGCAACAUUUUUUUUUUAAAUUUGUAGUAUUUUCUUUUUAGUUUUAUUUUGUACCCAUGUAUUAAUUUCUUUUAGCGCCUAUAUUUUUAAAAAUUCAUUUGUAUUGAUAAUUUUUAAUCUUUUAUCUGUACUCUAAUUUAUUUCUAAUGUGCCCAUUCUUCUUUAUUAAUGUACCACUUUGUUAUAUGUGAAAUGUACCAAUUUUUUUGUAAAAUGUACCAAUUUUUUUAACACUAUGGAUACAUUCUUUUGCCAUUGAUUAUUUCUUAUUUUUACAUAGUUUUUAUCCAUUUAUUCAAUCAAAAUGUUUGAAUUUGUUUAUUGUAACCAUUUCUAAUAGUAUUAUAAUGAGAGAUUUUAAAUUUAUAGGAUUAUAAAUCUCAUAAAAUAUCAAACAAUUAAUGUCAAAACUAUAAAAAUAUAAAUAUUAAUAGUAAUAUAAUGAGGUGUACAAAGUCAAGGGACUUUGAUCAAACUUUGAAUACUAUUAAGGUUUUAAUCAAAGAAUGUUAAGGAUUAGGGAUCGCAUCCAAAAUAUCCCAAAACAAAACGAACAAAUUUUUUUUAAGUAAAGCGGUCAACAGAGAGAAGAUGUUUUCGAAGUUCAAAAAUAAGAAAGACAUUGCGGGAAUGAAAUUUGGUGGGACUAAAAGUGAGAGGAACGGUAGUAGUAUAGUUAAUAUUCAUUGUUUCAAUUAUCCAAUUAAACAUUGGUCGUACCAUUGUAAAGUUUAGUAGCCGGAAGAUGGAAGAUGGAAGAUUGUCUGGUCAUAUGCUGAGUGGCGCUGAUUUCAAAAAUUAAAUUGGAUCAGACAGGGAAACAAAGUGGGUGCCGACUAAUUAAGGGAGGGUCCGUAUGAAUUUCACUAUUAUAAUUUACAUAUUUGUAUUAUUGAGAUGUUAUAUUAUUUCUCGAGAAUUUAUUUGAAUUUAGAUUUUAAUUAAACUAGUUACGAAGUUUGAAGUUUGGAAAUUAAUUAUUUAAAAUCCGUAGACCUUUCGAGGUCACAAUUUAUAUUUUCGAAUAGAUCUCGAAACCACGAACGUUUAGGCGAAAGCCGUUUGCAAGUCCAGGUUAUAACGGUAUAGUUACGGAUGUUUGAAGUUGUAUUACUAAACUAUAGAUUUUAGAAAUUAUUUAAAUUCCCACUUUGAGGGAAAAAGCCCAAUGAGGUAUGUGCUUUUGUGGCCAAUCAGAAAUAAAGGUUGAAGGGCGGACCAAUCAGAAACAAGAAAGAAAGAAAAAAAAAAACUAAUGAAAAUGGCUUGAAAACUUUGAGUUUUAAUGAUAAGGACAAAAUAAAGGGUAAAAUGAAUAGUACCAUGAUUGACUUUUUAGUGUAAAAAUGUGGUUUUUCGUUAAAGUUCCCAAGAAAAAAAGAAGGGGAAAGGAGAGAAAGGAAAGGAAGGAGGAACCGGCCAAACCCGACCCGGUUGAUUUUCCGGUGGAAAUCCAUCAAUUUUCAGACAAAUUGAGAGGUUCCACCCCCACCAAUCAUCAUUACGUUACUCUAUCUUCAAUUUUCCACCUUAAUUCGAGCGGAUUUGGUUUCGUUUCAUGAUGAAUUGUGUUGUGGGUGUCCCGAAGUCACAGAGGCGGCAUCUGCCAUUUCUGCAAGCUCCACCAUCGAUCAUUACCAUCUUUCAGCUCCUCAUGAGGCCAUAAACAAAGCCCAAGCAACUGUAUGGGUGGCGGAGCCCUGGAGGUGCUAGAUCGAAGACCACCUUUUCUAGGGUUUCCGGCUGAUCGAGGCUAUUUCCGGCCACUUCCCAGCUGAACUAGGCUUCAGCCUAGGCAUGAAAAAUGUUCCUCUCCUUGAGUUUUGCAUUUUUACAAAAUUUGGUAAUUUUUGGAAUUAGUUGAAUUUUCCGGCGAGUCGGGGCGGCCAACCGCCACCCGCGGCGGCUCGUGGCCAGUGGGCUAACUAUGUCUUUUUAAGUACUAUUAGAUGCCCUGGGUUCAUGUUUGAUAUUCGUAUGACGUAAUUUGAUUGUUUGAACUUAGUUUCAUUACGAUACAUUACUUGAUCAAAAUAUAGGAAUUGACGAUCCGACCGUUGGGUCGUCACCAAACUUUAAUACGUAAUAAUACGUAAUAUUUGAGGACCAUAGGAACUGACAGAUCGGGAAUUUGACCUACAGAUCUUCCCAAAUUGGAUUUCUAAGUUUGUAAAAUAAAUUGUUAACUGCCACCUAACCUAGUAAUUGGCGGAGAUCUGACCGUUUGAUUGUGAUGAAAUUUUAGCAUGUUGUUUUAGAAGCAUAAUGUAGACCUUAGGAGAUUACGAAUCUGAAAUCCGAUGUGCAGAUCUUCCGGAUUAGUUUGCUAGGGUGUGGACCCCACUGUUGACUGAGAGUUGACUUUUGGUCAACAUGUUUGGAACCAUUUGAAUUACUAAAAUUAGUAUUACUAAAGACUCAGUGAGGCUUUACGUACUUGUCUCGGCGAGUGACUAUGUAUGUGAUAUGGUUAUUACCCUGUUUUCUUAUAUUAGUAUCCUUUGUGGAUAUGGCAUGGUUUUAUAAACGUGUUUUCUAUUAAAAUGUGAUUUUUAUAAUUGGCCAUCGAUCUAUUUUUGUCAAAUGUGAUCUGAUUCAUGGAUUGGAAUUAUUUGUGAAAUUUGAAGUGCAUAUUGAAAUGUUUGUUAAACAUGAGGGUUAGUGGAUGACUGUUACCUUAGUAUCACGGGGUUAGGUGACAUCGAGUCUACACCAUGUAGUAGUGGUACAUGGAUGGUCCUGCUUGGUUAAUCCGCAUUGGGGGACCAUACUAUUUAUGGAUCGCGCUUGGUUAAUUCGCAUUGGGCCAUCCUUAUGGCCAUUUAUAUUUAGGGGUGAUCAUUCUUGGUUAAUCUGCGUUGGGGGGUCACUAGUGAUCCUGCUUGGUUAAUCCGCGUUGGGGGACCAUACUAUAUAUGGAUCGCGCUUGGUUAAUCCACGUUGGGCGAUCCUUAUGGCCAUGUAUGCUUAGGAGUGAUCAUGCUUGGUUAAUCCGCGUUGGGUGAUCACUUCCUAACAGCUGUAGGAGUGACUAUGCUUGGUUAAUCCGCGUUGGGGGGUCACUGCCUACUUGAUUACUUUCUCAAGGGUAGCUCUGCUUGGUUAAUUCGCUUUGUGGGGCCACUUCCUGUUUGGUUACUUAUGUAGGCUUUAGUUUAACUGCGUCCCUCUAGCCCUAGUUUUUAAUGUACAUAUGAACAAUGAUUUUUUAAGAAUCUUGUGGUUUGAAUUAGAAAAACCGUUGGAUGUCUGGGUGACUCUUACGGAGUUUUCAGCAACUUGAUUAUGAUUCCAUAAAGCAUGAUUCUAUACUUGAUGUUUAUAGAUUGUGAUCGAUGGUUUGUUUUUAUUGAAUAUCACGUACUUGUAUGAUUGUCACUCACUCGAGCCUCACAUCUUAUCUGAGUGCCUGAUUUGCCCACUGUACCAUUCCCAUAAUGUAGGCAUUGAUUUUACAUGUGACACGUCUAGGUAGAUUACGAGAAACCGCUUGAUAUUUUGGUUCCGUUAAGUGGUCCGGAACCCGAUAUUGUUGGAUUCCGUUGAGUGGUCUGGAAUCCUUGCUCUUGCUCAUUUCUAUAAAGUUAUCUUAGAAUCCUAGAUUCAAGUGAAUAGGGAUUACCCACAUUUAACCUUGUGAAUUUAUAUACCAUGUUAUUACUCAAAUCCAAGCAGGGAAGUAUAUAGAGCUCUUUAAUUAAAUUCGUGAAAUGAUUUGUUAUCUCAUUGAUUGAUUAACAUAGUUAAAAGUCAAAAUCGUGCAUCUUUGAUUCAUGAAUUGAUUAAGUAACGGGAUUUUGGAAUGACGUUAGAUAUGAUUGUUAUUAGUAUGAUUAUUUUAGUUGAUCAAUGUGGCUAGAAAAUAAUAUUGUGCUUGUUGAUUCUUUAAUAUGUGACAUGCUAUGUAUUGUAAUUUUAUGUGGGGAAACUUGAUGAUUUAUGCGAUGGGUGAAGUGGAGAUAUUAAUGGUCAUGUGGGAUUGUUAUGUAAUCUUGAAACUAGUAAUUUCAUGCAUGAUGAGUUCUAAUAAUUGAUUGAUGAGUGCUAUGAUUUUCCACUUAAACGUACUGUGAUAAAAGUUGAGGGAAGUGUUUGGAUGAACUACGAAUGUCUUGAUCCCUUCUUAGGGUACGUAGGAAGUCUAACGAGGAAGUUAGAUGCAGUCAUAAAGUAUACAAAAAAUUAUUAUGCAUUUGGUUCUCGGGUUGUGCCUUGUCCAUAUCUCAUAGGUGCGGUAUGUUAGAUAUAUAGAUACUUGGUGAAGUCACGUGUCGAUUCUGACCGUAUGUUGAGAUCGGGGUGUGACAAUCCGAGUCGAGUCUAUGAAACUGGUGCGGGCAAGAGGCUUGGUUGUGUUGUGAGGUGGUACAAGUGUAACACCUAGGGGGACGCCACAAGGCUCGUUGUUGUCAUUGAGAGGCAAAGGGAGGGCCAUGCAUAACAAGUCGAAGACACCAUAAAGAAAAGAGGAGAGUCAUGACAAAAAAUGCAAAAAACUAAGUCGUUUAUUACGAAGAAAAAUCGCAACUCACAUGGCGAUAGGUCCCAAUAGAUUGUGUGGAUAUCCAGACUAUCUCGGAUUGGACUAGUUGCAGGGACUAAGCUGGACUGGCUUAGACUAUACUAAAUUGGACUAACUUAGUAAAGCGUUUGGUGCAGUGUCACGACUAAGGAACAAACUAAUAACAAAUUCCAAUAUUAUAUUAUUUAAUUCAUAUUUAUUAAUAUUUUACAUUAUUUAAUAAAUAUUUAGUAAUAUUUUAUUAUUACUUCUGUCUAUUUUCUCAUUCUAGAAACCUUCCCGUUCAUCCCCUCUUUCUUCCUUAAUUUUCUCCGCCUUUCUUCCUCUGUUUUCUUCCUAAUUCUUCUUCGUCCCUCUCCCUUGUUUUUUUUUUGUCCCUCUCCCUCUUCAUCUCCAUCUUCUUCUUUCGUUCUCCAUUCAUCUCCCUAUUUUCUUCCUUUUUGUUCUCUGUUCAUCUCCCUCUUUUGAUGAAAGAAACUAACGUCAAAAUUAAACCCAGAAGUUGUUCAUCUCCCAACUUCAUAAUCGACUGCAAAUCUUCACAAUCAAACCACAAAGCAAGAAAGAGAUUGAAAAUUUAGGAGUUAGGAGCAGGUUGCAUGUGCGCUUGGCCCGAAGGUAGAAGAUGGGGGUUGGAUCUGGUUUGUGUUUUCUGAGUUUUUGGUUUUCUGGGUUUUGUGAUUGAAAAUUUCAAGCUCACGUCACUGCAGAUUUUUUGGGUUUUUGGUUUUCUCGGUGUUGUGUGAUUGAAAAUUUCAAGCUCAUCUCACUUUCAGAUUUUUUUUUUUUAGGUUUUCUGAUAUUUUGGGUGUUGGAUGUGGUUUUGAAAAUAGAACGUUUGCAGAUUUUUCUUCUAGUUUGUUUCGGUUUUUCCAGAUCUGGUCUUGAAGAUGGUUUUAGGAAGCGAGGAUGAAGCAUAUGGAUGUGCGAAGCGGAAGGGGGAAGCUAAGGUCUUAGCAGUCCGCCCGAUUUCGAGGGGUCUCGCUAAGCCCUUUUAGUGAAGUGUUUAGUCCAAUUUAGUCGGGGCGAGUCCCAUUAAAGUUAGGCCCUUCCGUAAACAAACACAGGAUUAGAUUAAAAGGUAAUCAUGUCCAGUCUAGUGAGAGCUAAGGAGGGCAAUCAAACACACCCUAAGUCAAUAAAGGCUACUGUGAUUUUAUUUUUUGUUUUCUUGGUAUGAAAAAAGCCCCAUAAUAAGGUUUUGGAUAGAAAAUGAUAUGACUAGACCCUUAGACGUUGUCAUAAAGAAAAGAGGAGAAUCAUGACAAAAACCUUAAAAACUAGUGAGAGUACCAUAAGUGAAUAAUAUCAUAAGUCAAUAGAGGUUGCUGUGAUUUGAUUUUUUGUUCUCUUGGUGUGAAAAAGUCCCACAAGAAGGUUUUUGACAGAAAAUGAUAUGAUUAGACCCUUAGAUGUUGUCAUAAAGAAAAGAGGAGAAUCAUGACAAAAACCCUAAAAACUAGUGAGAGUAUCACAAGUGAAUAAUACCAUAAGUCAAUAGAGGCGGCUGUGAUUUGAUUUUUUUUUCUUGGUGUGAAAAAAGGAUUAAGAUUCUCUCUCCUCCUUUUUCCAUCUCUUUCUAUUCCCUCUUUUCACAUUCUUUAUGUUGCAUGUCUCUUUCUAUAAAAUGUUAACAUGAUUUAACCAUGAUUGUUCAAAUAGGAAGAGGAAAGAGGAGAGAAAAAAACGAAGAAAAAAAAAAGGAGAGAAUCCUUCUCCGUGAAAAAGUCCCACAAGAAGGUUUUUGACAGAAAAUGAUAUGACUAGACCUUUAGACACUGUCAUAAGAGCAAAUCCACCCCUAAAGACUUUGCGCCAGCACCCAGCGCAUUUAUCCACUCAAGUGAACAGUAAUAGACUUCAGUGAACAGUAAUAGGCUAAAGCAUCUCCGUCCCUAACAAAAAAUAGCCUAGUCAAUUUUAUUAAAAUAUUAUUAUUAUUAUUAUAAAAUAAUAAAAAUAAUAAUUUUAUUAAAAAAAAAAGAGGAAAAGUCAGGAACCUCCACGGUUCCACUAGAACUCUCUCUCUAUACUCUCCCUCUACAUCCCCAAACACCAAACGCCACUCCCGACGCCAACUUGCUUCAACCUCCAUCUGCAUCUCUCUCUCUCCCUCUUUGUUGGGCGGAGCUCUGCAAAAACCCACCACCCUAUGUAAUGAUAAUCCCACCGGAUUCCAACUUUCCUUCCGGUUCACAAUCCCCAAUCUUUAUUCCUUUACAAUUUUCCAACAAUUUUGCCUAUCAAAUUCCCUAUCAAUCCAACCCCACUAACCCAAUUUGAUCUUUUCCUCAACCGGUGGUUCCUUCGGCAGUAGCUGCCGCGGAUCCAGCCUGUCACCCGCCCGGCACCAACCCGUAUGACAAUUCGGGCUGGUACCCGUGGACCCGUGUUGGAUUCCGAGGUCAGACGCCGUUUGGUGAAGGCCCCGAAAUCUCCCUCCGCCCCAGAAUCAACCUCAGCCCCGAGGAGUUUUGCGAUGUGUUGAUCGUGGGAGAGGUUGAUGGCCCGGCUGACGUCAGAUGGCCCGGCAUGUGGGUCUGUUGAUUUUAGGCUGGUCUUUUGCCUGGCUUGGGCUAGGUGCCGGGUUGGUUUUUUGGCUAGGUGCUGGCCUAUCAGUUCCCUGGUGGAACUGCUCUAAGAAAAGAGGAGAAUCAUGACAAAAACCCAAAAAACUAGUGAGAGUACCAUAAAUUGAAUAAUACCAUAAGUCAAUAAAGGCUGCUGUGAUUUGAUUUUUUUUUUUUUUUUUUAAGUUAGGAGGCAUAAAUUGAAUCUAGAGGAGCAUCUAAGCCAUACGAGAGAAAUUGAACCAAAAAAAAAAAUAUUACUAAUGGGAGAAAAAAGGUUCAUUUUUGUAGUGCAAUAAAACAAUUUAGUUAAAAGAAAGUAAUGAAGUCACAAUUUGUUUUUGUUAAGAUAAUUAUAUCAUAAGCACCAAACUUCUUUAUAAAUUUCUACAUUGAAGUUGAAUAAAAAUGAAUAAUUGUGGCUUAAAACUGCAGCUAUGAAAAUUGUCUUUAAGAUAAAAUUUUCCUCUAUUUCAUAUAUUCAUGGUUUCACUACAAAACAACUAUCUGUCAUGCAAAAUAGUGAACUAAGAAAGGCUUGUUGAUGUAAGGCUUUUGUUUCAUAACAAUACUACUGUAAAACAAUUUUUUUUUUUUUUGUCAUUUAGAAAAACACAAUAAAGCUAGAUGAGAGCAAAAACACAUAAGUCGAAGAAUGCAGAGUAUCCAACCAAAAGGAUACAAACAUAAAUUACCAAAUGGUUAGAUCCUUAAACGUUGUCCUAAAAUAUUUUUGUGAAUAUUUUAAAAAACAAAAAAAAUUAAAAAUUUUGACACUGAUUUUUUUUUUUAAUUAUUAUUAUUAUUUUUUACAAAAAAACGUAACUAGAAUGCCUUCAUUAGUCGAAGGGUUUCUAGUUCAUCUCAUUCCCAACAUUAUAUGGACACGCUUGAUAUGGGGAGGAUUGGAAACCAUCCUUGUUAGGCCACUUCACUAAUUUUUUGGUAAUUUCCCAAAAUAAUCCAACAACAACAACAAGUAAUUCACAAAAAAUAAACAAGUAAUUCACAAAAAAUAAACAAGUAAUUUGUGCAAGUAUAUGAUAUAAAUAUUAUUUAUCUAUGAGUGCAGUUGCACAGCAGCACACCAGCAAGGAAUAGAUACACGUGCGUGGGACAAGUUUCCACUCAAAAUGUCCAAUGGGCUCCACCAUUUUUGUCCCUAUACUAUCCUAUGUGUAGGGACUUAUCUUAUGCAUCUGAUGUGUGAAAUCCUGUCCCCGGAUUUCACUAAGUUUACUUUUGAUAAAUACCUUUCUUGAAUCAUGCAAUUAAAUGCAUUAUAAAAUAAGCAAUGAAAAGGGUCUCAAAUAGCUAAUUUUAAAUAAGAAAAACACUUAGUAAUAUAAAUCUCUAAUAUUAGAAAGCUAGAAUAUAUAUCUAAAGGGAGAAGGCAAAAAUGUUGGAACUUUCAUAAUAAAAAUUACCUUUCUCUAAAAAUAAAAAGAAUCACAAAAAAUACCCACGUAAUAGGACUAGGGGUGGUUGACACACCCCGAUCUUAGAAUCAAGGGGUGCUAGCCGUCACGUGAGCGCGACGUAACCAAAAGUGCGAUGCGGAAGCAAGAAGAUACGAGAAAUACGAAGGAAUAAAAACCAACUACUAGCAAUAACAACCAACUAGUAUGCUAGAGUAAGUUUAAGUGUGAAACACACAAAUUCAGAGCAUAAAUACUAGGUGCAGUCAAGUAGGACUAUAACUAAAAUACAACACCCGCAGGUGAGUCCUACAUGCAAGAAGUCUGUCAGAACGCCGUGGAAAUAACCUCGUGAGCCACCAACUGCUAACUAGAACCUGGAGGGGCGCAAAAUAAGAUUGAGUGGGUCAGUAAAACAAAGUUUUUUGAAAACAUUUCAAAUAAUAACAUUUCUAACCCCUCGCUGUAAAACCUGUAUACUUUCCCAGAAAAUAGUAUAUAUAUAUAACCAUAUAUAAUCUCAAAACUCAAGUCACAAGUCUUUAACACUUUUCAAGAAAACAUGUCAUGCUAUGCAUCAAAACAUAAUAAGGAUGCAACAUUAUAACAGGUGAAAUAAGGAAUCAACCGGAGACCCUGCAGUUGGUCCUGUACGGUUAAUUCUGUAGCUCAAUAUCCAAACCAACCGGAGUCACCACUGUGACAUGGACGACACUACUCUGCACAUAAGUCGGAACUACCUAAAGUAGUCUGUACGACAAGAAUGGUGUAAGAAUAUGCUCUAGUGCUUCUCCCAUCAACAGCUGUAUAAUAAUCUAAAGUCACAUACAAGUCGGAACCUUUUCAUGGUCUGUACGACAUGCACCUACUUGGAUCCAAGGUGAGCGUGUGGUGCGAGGUGAAUAAUAUAAGCACUAACACCAGAGGUGCAGGUUUGAGCUUUCAAUACAAUUUACAUCAUCACUAAAUCACAUGAAUAAUAUAAACCUCACAUGAUACUCACCUGUGCGUCCACAGCACCAUUUAACAUAUAUAUGCAACAAUCACUAAUUCAUAUAUUUCAUAUAUAUGUAUGCAUGACAUUUUAAAACAUACUUUCAUUUAAAUUCAAUUUCUGGGAAAAAUCAAUAGUAUAUAGGUAAAUAUAGAAAAUACUGCCCACUCACUAGUAAGUCGAAGGGUCGUAGCCCCCGUGACGCCUUUGGAUGCGCUCGUCCUUGUGAUAGGUAUCACCUAUAUGCGAAAUAACUAUAAAAACGUUAUUUAAAGCACAUAACCAACAAUACGUAAUAACUUCUCAUACGAUGCUCAAAUUAGGUAUAUGAAUAUACCACAGUGACCUACUCGACGUCACGGACGUCGAGGUAUUUUUAGAAAAAAAUUUGGACGCCGCACGCGCCCCCAUGCGCCGGGAGGGGCACAAGUCUACGCGCCCCCACGCGCGUCGUCUUCUUCCUCCAGUCGCCGAACUGGUUUCGCCGGCGCCGGAAACUGGAGAUUUUUCAAUCUCCUUGUUCUCCAUCAUUUCUCAACCAUUUUCUACGCAUUUUAUAUCAAAAUGAAGCCCUAAGCAUGUAGAAUCACAUUACACUACUUUAAGGCUUUAAAAAUGACGAAAUCUCACCGGAGAAAUUCCAAGAAAACCGGCCAACUUCGAACCCUACGAUCCCUACGUCCAAAUCCUUCAAACUAGGUACUCCGGGCUUCCUUAGGACCUCACUAAGCUCACUAUGAGCUUAGAAUUCCCUGAAAAUCAACAAUUCACGUGUGCAUGAACAGUACUCAAAUCGGACCUCGAGUUUUCAACGUUAUAUCGAGGGUUCUAAGUUCUAAAAAUUGCACCAUUCGACUCAAAAGAUUGCAAGGAUGAAGAAACUCACCUUUUUGGCGUCGAUCCGUGAUAUUUUGAGGGUUUUGUUCUUUGUUCGUACAGUUUCGAGAGGGAGAGAGUGAGAGAACUGAGAAGGAGGAGAGAGAGAGAGCACGGGGAAGAGAGAGAGAGCUUGUCUCGUGUGUGUGUGUGGUCCAUCCCAAAACAAUCACCAUCCAAUUUUCUUAAGUCUCUAACCACACAAAAUACAUACAACCUUUAAUCCAAUUUAAAAUUUCCAAACUUAGGAAAGUAUGUAUUAUUUAAUAACACGUCACACACAUACCUUAGCAGCAGUUAAGGAAAAUUCCGUCAUUUCACGUCCUUAAUAAGUAGAAUCUCGGAACGGGCUGUGACAGUGGUUAUGUUCAUUAUUUUUCAAAAUAUAUUUAAUAAAAACAAUAUUUAAAAUAAGUAAAAUUAAAAAGAGUCAACUGUCACAUGCGUAUGCGUGUGGCAAGAGACUACCAUUUAUUAAUCAUAAGGACAAAAAUAAUACUAAUUAAAAACCUAAUAAUCUAAACUACAUAUUAAUAAAGCAUUGCUUGUCAACAAAAAAUAAAUAAAAUUACUACUAUACCCUUUAAUAUAAAACUGAAAAAAAAAUAUUUGAAAAUAAAACAAUGUGGGCAUUAAAGUAAUUUUAAACAAACAAAUUUUUUUUUUUUUUCCUAAAUCUCACAGUUAUGUCACUUUAGCAAUAUCCUCUCAACUCAUUCUCUCUCUUUCUCUCUCUCUCUUUCCUAACUGCCAACCUUUAUUUUUUGGGAUGCUUGCCAACCUGUUAAAAACAAGUAACUCUUCUCAUAAAAAAUAUAAAAAUAUAAAAAAAUAUUUCUCAACACACAAGGUGCGUGACCUUUGCAAGUCAGCCAUAAAAAUUAGAUGCGUAGGUCCCAUGAAAAAGGGGAAUUUUAUUCAGACCCAAUUAUCUUCUUUUUACACCCAACUUAUAAUUUUUAAUCUUGAAAUUCCGAAUUUGCCCAACAAUUUUCUUUCUACACCCAUAAUGAAAAAGAACAAAAAAAUUAAAAUAUAAAAUUCCAACACUAGAAAACCUGGAGAAAUUAUAGUGUAGUACAGUAAUACCACGUCAUCUGUGAUAUUUCCUUUCAAAAUUCGCCAUGUGUCAUGUUUUUACACAUGUGGAAUUUAAUCUCAUUUUUAAUCUUUAAAUAAGUUUAAAAAUGAAAAGAAAAAAAAGAACAAAAUAGAUCGUGUUCCUGAAGUUUUUGCCCCCUCCGACCCAAUCUGGUAAUCCUCUUCCACACAACGCCGCAUCUCUUUUCUUCACGAUUUGGGGAUUAAAAUCGAAAAUGAUCGGUAUCCGAAAGGAUGAGGACGCCGACUCCCAAGCGGUGUGAAGGCGUUUGGAAAUACAUGCAUCGUGGUUGAUGGGUUUGCUUGGCUGAGUCGGACUUAUCCAUUCAGCGUGGUUCUGGUUGAAUUUGGAGAGUUGGUAAAGAAGAAAACGGGAUUUGAUUUGAAGGUUAGACAAUUAGAUUCAAUUUUAGUUUCUGUAUGGUUGCGAAGAAAGUAUAAAAUUACAAUUUACUGGGUGGUUAAGGUUGGAAGGGAUAGGGUGGCUGAAAUUCCCUAUUGCUAAAUUAUUAUUAUUUUCUUUUUGUUUUUGUUGGGUGUAGAAAGAGAAUUAUUGGGCACAUUUGGAAUUUCAAAAUAAAAAAAUAAUAAGUUGGGUGUAGAAAGAGGAUAAAUGAGUCUAAAUAAAAUUUCCCCAUGAAAAAUUGAUGCGCAAAACAUGUCCAGGGGCUCACAGCCAAUGGCCAGAAAGCAACAAAAAAAUAAAUUGAAAAAUCUCAACAUGCCUCAAACCUAGCACCUAAGGUUAUCUCUAAUCGAAAUGGCUGAAAAUAGUUAUGUUCAAAAUUGUAUCCUAGCCAAAUAUUAUUUUUAAAUGAACAGUGUCAGAGCAUACUCAUAUAUCAUCUUCAAUCGAAGGGACUAAACACAACCUCCUUAAUAACUUAUUAGUUUUAAGUUUACACUUUAAAUUUAUUGGUUAAUUUAAUUAAACUACCGUUGAAUAUUUUCAAAUCUAGCCGUUAAUCUGAAUCAAUUACUGCAACUGAGUAGAUGGGCUCCAACAAAAGAGCUAAGUGGAGGGCGACAUUUGACGAGUCUUAUACUCCUUUAGCCAAAUAAUGUCCUUGUGGGCUCCUAGAAUUAUAGCACAGCCAAGACGUGCUACACGCCUACUUGUAUUUAGUUUGGAGAUGAGUUUUUUGACAAAUCAAAUCAUUUCAACCUUUAGUCAUCUUCAUUCAAAAUGGCCUAAAAGGAAACCAGCAAGGCUCUACCAAGACGUGCUACACGCCAACUUGUAUUUAGUUUGGGAUGAAUUUCAUUUUGUAUAAAAUAUCUUUGUCACCUAUAGUAAAAAAAAAAAAAAAUCGUAGCAAGCAUGGAACCUAGGACCUAGAAGGAAACCAACAAAACCAUACUCACGAGACCUUUUAGUGUACCUCAUAUGUCAUUAUAUAAGUGGAGGAACACUUAAAAAUUUUUUUUUUCUCUACUUGUAUUAUCAUAUGACGUACCGUCUAGUAUUUUAGAUACAUUGAAAAGCCUCUCAAUACCCACCAGGACUACACGCCCAAAGUGAUAAAUAUAGGAUAACUUUUACUUUAUAUAAAAAAUCAAAACCGUUACAGUAAUUAACCUCACGAAAUUAGCACUUUAUUACCUUUAAUUUUUUUCGUCUCGCUUUUAUACUGAAAAUCACGAUGUGCUCUCAAAAUCAUACUUUCGUUAGUCUAUCUAUUAAGUUCUCUAUUAAACAAUGACAUGACAGGCCUUUAACCCAUCAAAAAAUUUAAAAUUAUUCAAAAAUCAUAAAUCCUUUUUUUAUUACUCAAAAUAAUCACAAAUAUUUGAAAAAGUUAAUAAUCAUAAACAUUCUCUCGGACUACAUUGAAGAUUCCAUUCAACACUGACCUAAUCCCCUCGAUUCCGAUCUGGUUUGUCAGGCUUAUAUCAUCCUAAAGAUAUCACAGACUAUUGCUAUCCAGUAUUUUACUUUUGAUGGCUAAAAUUUGCUUUGUAACCAAUAACUCUCCCAACACUCUUAUUGCAGUACUCAAUAACUCUUCCGGCACUCUUAUUACAUCAUAUUGACCUUCUGACCUUUUAGGCAUUGGAGUGGAGGCCCCUUGACUAACACCAUAUUAGUGUUGGUCUAACUCUGUUUUUUUUUUUUUUUUUUUUUGUUUUUUUUGUUUUUUUUGUUUUUGUGUGUGUAGUUUUUAUUCCAAUUCAAUUACUGUGAAAUUUGUUCUUACAGUGGUGAUGGCAACAAUGGUGGUGGCAGUGGUGGUGCAAGGUUAAUGUUUAUAGUGAUAGGUAAUGAUAGUCACUUUGGAGAUAAGAUGUGUGUAGAAGGAUAAGUAAUGUCAUUUUUAAAAAUGUCAUAUGGGUAUUACAAGAAUUGAAAAUAUUCAUUGAAGACUCAACUCCCGUUUUUUAUGAAAACAGCUUUUCAAAGUAAUCUACGUGUUGCGAAAACUUCUGUCUCAUAAUCUUGCUGCAAAGGAAUAAGGAAGAGUUGGUCUGAGUCCAUCAUAGUCCCUGAAAACUACCGCAAGAGGAUGUAUCCUUCCCAGUGAAAAUCUGAGACUUCUCUUUGUUCGCUUCGUGCCCAGAGUCAAGACUGCAUGCAAACAACAACAACAACAACAACAAAGCAUUUUCCCACUAAGUGGGGUCGGCUAUAUGAAUCCUAGAACGCUAUUGCGCUCGGUUUUGUGUCAUAUCCUCCGUUAGAUCCAAGUACUCUAAGCCUUUUCUUAGAGUCUCUUCCAAAGUUUUCCUAGGUCUUCCUCUACCCCUUCGGCCCUGAACCUCUGCCCCGUAGUCACAUCUUCGAACUGGAGCGUCAGUCGGCCUUCUUUGCACAUGUCCAAAUCACCGGAACCGAUUUUCUCUCAUCUUUCCUUCAAUUUCGGCUACUCCUACUUUACCUCGGAUAUCUCGGAUAUCCUCAUUCUCAAUCUUAUCCUUUCUCGUGUGCCCACACAUCCCACGAAGCAUCCUCAUCUCUGCUACACCCAUUUUGUGUACGUGUUGAUGUUUCACCGCCCAACAUUCUGUGCCAUACAACAUCGCUGGCCUUAUUGCCGUCUUAUAAAAUUUUCCCUUGAGCUUCAGUGGCCUACGACGGUCAUACAACAUGUUGGAUGCACUCUUACACUUCAUCCAUCCAGCUCGUAUUCUAUGGUUGAGAUCUCCAUCUAAUUCUCCGUUCUCUUGUAAGAUAGAUCCUAGGUAGCGAAAACGGUCGCUUUUUGUGAUCUUCGCUAAAUUGCUCCGGUCAUUAGUGUGGAUAAGUAUAUAAAUGGAUAGAGAUAGGAAAGCAAACACAAGAUGUACGUGGUUCACCCAGAUUGGCUACGUCCACGGAAUAGAAGAGUUCUCAUUAAUUGUGAAGGGUUUACACAAGUACAUAGGUUCAAGCUCUCCUUUAGUGAGUACAAGUGAAUGAUUUAGUACAAAUGACAUUAGAGUACAAAUGACAUUUGGAAAUAUUGUGGGAGAAUGAUCUCGUAAUCACGAACUUCUAAGUAUCGGAGUGUGGUAUCAUCUUGACUUGCCUUAUCUGUCUCAUAGGUAGAUGUGGCAGCUUCUCUGGAAGUACUCUUCCUCCAUCCAGGGGUGGUAUCUUUAACUGGUGGAGAUGCACAAGGUAAUGUAUCAAUUUCACUUGAAGCUUACUUGUAGUUUCAGGCUUGGUCAAGCGCGAUACAAACCAUGUAGUAGGAGUCCCCCAAGUCGCCGAGCUAGGGGAUUUGCUGAAAGAGGUGACAGACAAGGUAAGCAAUCAGAGCUCCGGCUGAUUGUUCACCUUCUCCCCAUCUUGCAGCAGCAUGAAGGAUAAAGAGAAGAAAAAAUGAGAAGAGAUGAUAUGGGAUACUUUUGCUUUUGAAGAAGUAACUUUCCACAGGCUUAUUCUUGAACUGAGCUGGAGGGUUUUCUGGUUUCCUCCAGAGUAUAAGGCCGACUGAAGAAUUUGAGGGUCAAAACAAGUCCAUCAAAUCUAGAGUACGUUCGACCCUGUUGAUAUGGGAUACUUUUGCUUUUGACAGAGUAAUGGAUGGAUCGGCACGUGUGCUGUUACGCUUGUCUCCACAUGCUUCCUUGUAUCCUUCGCACUUGCCCUAUCUGUUCCUCAAGCAGAUGCGGUAUCUUCCCUGGCAACAUAAGAUGUUGAAGAUGAGUACUCGAGAGCAAUGCCAGGUAAGUAAUCAGGUAAGGGGUUCCAGGCUGUCAGUUCCUGGCUGGGAGUUUGAUUUCAAGUGUUGACUGAUUGCUCUCUUUCUCCUUGUCUUGCAGGUAAAAACAAGGCCAAAGGAAAAGACAGGGAAAAAGCAUGAUAUGGGAUACUCUUGCUUUUAACCCUGAUGAUAUGAGAUAUUCUUGCUCUAGUAUAGCUUGUUUGCAGAGGUAUUAUCGGGGGGAAAGAAAGCUGAAUAUUUCGAAAGGCUUCGUUGGGAGUGCCCUCUCAGAUAUGAGGAAGGGUUGAGCAUUUUUGCAGGUCUGCCUGUCCGUUGGGGAUGGAGGUCGACAUAUAUAGGAGUCUCCCUAACAACAAGUAGUAAUGCUAUUCCUUUACCCUGCUUGGUCAUAGCACGGUAGUGGGAGCUGCCAGCUUCACAUGUUUUAACUCUGUCAGAGCACUUUGAAAAAGUGGUAUGUGGUAUCUGGCUCUCGAGAUUCGGAGAACGAUGCUUCUUCAAUUUUUGAGAAAGCAAUCAUGGUUGGGGUCUGGCUCUCGAGAUUCGGGGAGCGGUGUCUCUUCGAUUUUUGAGAAAGUAAUCAUGUUGGGAGUUUGGCUCUCGAGAUUCGGAAGGCGGUGCCUCUUCGAUUUUGGAGUAAGCAAUCUUGUUGGGAGUGUUUUCUCGGAUGUGAGUAAAGGUUGGGCAUGUUUGCUAGUCUACCUUGCCACGAAGCACGGAGGUUGACACACAGGGACUUUCCAAUUAUCCAGCAGUGGUACUGUUCCUUUACCCUUGUGGGUAAUAAUAUGAUAGCUAGACCUUCAAAAUUUAUGUGUCUAAACUUUGUUAGUGCUGUUUCUUUGCUAUUCUUUUACCUUUCUUGGUCAGAGAGAUGUAGUGGGAGCUGCAAGCUUCACGUGCUCAACUUUGGCAGAGAACUUUGGCAAAGUUAUUUGUGGUACCCAUGAGCUAUUGCUGCGUGUGGGAAGUGGGUGAUUGGACAGUAAGAUUCAUGUGUUUUCUACUUCCCCAGAAGUCUUCGACAGAAUACCCAUAAUUUCCGCAAAGCUGAGUGUGCGUGUGACAGGUGCUGACAAGGCUGAAAAAGUAGGUGCCUCUUCGAUUUCUGAGAUCGGCCAUCGUGGUCUCUGAGGAGCCCAGCUUUUGAGGAAGCGAGCGCCUCUUCGAUUUCUGAGAUCGGCUUUCGUGGUCUUUGAGCAGCCCAACUUUUGAGAAAGCAAACACCUCUUCGAUUUAUGAGAUCAACCCUCGUGGUCUCUAAGCAGCCCAGCUUUUGAGAAAGCAAACGCCUCUUCGAUUUCUGAGCAGGCGCCUCUUCGAUGUCUGAAGCUCCGUCGAGUGCAGCUUUUUAUAGAGGCUGGCAUUAAGUUCCAAAGCACACUUGAAUCUCCACCAGUAGAAGCUCUAUUCUUGCACUUCUAAGAUCUUGAUUUGUCCGACCUCUUCUCUCUUUAAUACCUUUGAAAAUGUCUGGCCCCUCCGACCGUCGUUUUGACUUGAACCUUGUUGAAGAGGCAGCCCCGCCUUCUCCAGACAACAUAUGGCGCCCAUCCUUCGUCUCCCCUACUGGUCCUCUUACCGUUGGGGAUUCCGUGAUGAAGAAUGAUAUGACCGCUGCGGUGGUGGCCAGGAACCUUCUCACUCCCAAAGAUAACAGACUACUUUCCAAACGGUCUGAUGAGUUAGCUGUUAAGGAUUCACUGGCUCUCAGUGUUCAGUGUGCAGGUUCUGUGUCUAAUAUGGCCCAACGCCUAUUUGCUCGAACCCGCCAAGUUGAAUCAUUGGCGGCCGAAGUGAUGAGUCUCAAACAGGAGAUUAGAGGGCUCAAGCAUGAGAAUAAACAGUUGCACCGGCUCGCACAUGACUAUGCUACAAACAUGAAGAGGAAGCUUGACCAGAUGAAGGAAACUGAUGGUCAGGUUUUUACUUGAUCAUCAGAGAUUUGUGGGUUUGUUCCAAAGGCAUUUAUUGCCUUCGUCUUCUGGGGCUGUACCGCGUAAUGAAGCUCCAAAUGAUCAACCUCUGAUGCCUCCUCCUUCUAGGGUUCUGUCCAGUACUGAGGCUCCGAAUGAUCCCCCUCCGAUGCCUUCUCUUUCUGGGGCUCUACCGACUGCUGAGACUUCUCCUAAGCAACCUUUGUGAAGGCUCCAUCUUGUUUGUUUAUUUUGACUCAUGUAUAUGUACAUAUUUGUAGCUUAUCGGGGAUAUCAAUAAAUAAGUUUUCCUUCAUUUCAACGUAUUGUGUUAAAUACACCAAAGCCUUCUUCGCUAAGUUCUUUGAAUUUUCUUUUGUUGAAGCUUGUAUGUUGAAGCUUUCUGAGUGGAGCAUGUAGGUUGGGGUAGUGUUCCCUUAAUUUUUCGAGUGAGGAAAACUUCUCGGUUGGAGACUUGGAAAAUCCAAGUCACUGAGUGGGAUCGGCUAUAUGAAUCUUAGAACGCCAUUGUGCUCGGUCCUGUGUCAUGUCCUUCGUUAGAUCCAAGUACUCUAAGUCUUUUCUUAGAGUCUCUUCCAAAGUUUUCCUAGGUCUUCCUCUACCCCUUCGGCCCUGAACCUCUGUCCCAUAGUCGCAUCUUCUAAUCGGAGCGUCAGUAGGCCUUCUUUGCACAUGUCCAAACCACCGUAACCGAUUUUCUCUCUCAUCUUUCCUUCAAUUUUCGGCUUUUCGGCUACUACUUUACCCCGGAUAUCCUCAUUCCUAAUCUUAUCCUUUCUCGUGUGCCCACACAUCCAACGAAGCAUCCUCAUCUCUGCUACACCCAUUUUGUGUACGUGUUGAUGCUUCACCGCCCAACAUUCUGUGCCAUACAGCAUCACCGGCCUUAUUGCCGUCCUAUAAAAUUUUCCCUUGAGCUUCAGUGGCAUACGGCGGUCACACAACACGCCAGAUGCACUCUUCCACUUCAUCCAUCCAGCUUGUAUUCUAUGGUUGAGAUCUCCAUCUAAUUCUCCGUUCUUUUGCAAGAUAGAUCCUAGGUAACGAAAACGGUCGCUCUUUGGUAUUUCUUGAUCUCCGAUCCUCACCCCUAAAUUAACUGCCUUGAUUACUUUCGUCUUGUGUUUACAAAGCGUGCAAAUGUCACAAGCCACAAGUUCAAUGAAGCUGUGGUAAUAUGGAAAAUAAAUCCAACAGUUCCAGUAAACACACAAAGUUUGGACCUACUGUUUAAUUUGAGGAAAAUACAAACACCCGAAGACAUGAAGAUGGGAAUAGGUGGGAGGAGAACCAAAAAGAUCGACAUAAGGAGAAAUCCAAUUAAGCACAUAGGAAGGAGAUUGAUGAUGUGGACGGCUAUGAGGGCAACUUCAACCCAUAAUUCAUGAGGGAGCCCUGCAGUGUGGGGUAUGGUCUGGAUUGAGGUGGCUGUAUGACGAUGCUUACGUUAGGCAAGCCAAUUCUGUUGAGUAUGAAGGUAUGAGCAGCGUUGCUCAAUGCUUAACUCAUGACAAAAAGUAGAAAAAUAAAGAUUGAUUAACACACUUAUUAUCACUUUGAAGAACCUAAACAGUAGCAUGAAGAAUAUUGCGAACCAUAGCCACAAAAAAUUUUAAGUGAUCAAAGACUUCCGACUUUUGUUUCACGAGAUAGAUCGAGUAGCGGAAAAAUUCAUCAGUGAAUAAAACAUAAUAACAAAAAUGACUAAUGAAGUAAAGUGACAUUCACAUCAGAAUGAACAAUAUAAAAUAAAGAGGAAGCAUGAUUAUUAUUGUUAUUAAAAUUAAAAGGAUGACAGGCGACAAAGGCGACAAAGCAUGAUUAUUAUUGUUAAUAAAACAUAAUCAUAUUCUCAUUAAGUCCCAAUAAAAACAAUAACUCCGAGAACUAAAGUCUUGAAGAAAAGGGGUUGUAUCACUGUUCAUCAAGUUUACAAAUCAAAGAAAUAAACAAUUUACAAUUUAACACAAUGGGUUUUAUUUAUUACUGAUUAAUAGAAGUCUACCAAAUUCAAUAACACAAUAAUCAAAAUUCAGUUCCAAAAAUAACAAUAGUUUAGAGAAUUGAAGAAUUGAAGAAAAGGUGUUGUACUUGUGUUCGUGAAACUGGUGUAGGAGAGAGAUUAUCAGUCAUUGCCUUCUUUGCAAAACUCAGAAACCUUCCCAGCUGGAGCCAUGGCUCUCGAACUGAACUCAGGCUUUUGGCGGGUACUACUCUGCAAAAACAAAAGCAGGAAAUUGUAUGAUUUCUGAUUUGGUCAUAGCCCACCAAAUUGUUCUAGAUUUUACAAUCACAAACAAAAAAAGGGAAGAAAAUAAUGAGUUAAGUGGGACAAAUAAAAAAGAAGGGAGAAUCCACUUUACCAAACGAGGUCCAGGCGUUGGAGACGAACAGAUAAAACGAAAAGAAAGUUGCAUGUACAGUUUUAUUGUUGAUUGCAAAUUUGGAAUGUGGGUUUUCUUUUUCUUUUCCCAACUCAGAAAUAGAAUUAAGUUGGGGGAAGAGAUGUUCCGGGGUUUGAAGAUCAUGAGGCGGCUGACUUGGAAGAGGUAGCCGACGAAGGAAAGAUCGAGGAAGAAGAAAGAGCAUGGCAGAAAAUCAAUAACCCACAACCUUAAACCCAGUCACUCUGAUGAAACUGUUGGAGCUUCCUAGCCGUUAGGGUUAGGGUUCCUUGUUUUUAGGUUUAUUUCUGUUAUGUUGAAUAAUUCCUCCUUAACUUGAGGAACAAGAUUGUUUUUCUGUUUAACGUAGUCAUGCACCACGAUUAUAGGACUUGUAAAGUCGUGGGUGGUUAUUUUCCUUUCUAUCUCAGUGUAAGGCUAUUUAUUAGCUACUAUAGUUGUUUAGCUGAAUAAGAAUUCUCCCAGCUUUCGUGCAUUCAAACCUUGCAAAGUUCUCUGUUAUCCCUUUGGUUCUAACAUCUGGUAUCAGAGCCCCAUCACGGGCCUGAUCAAAAGCUUGUGACCCAGGUACUAGAGUGAAGAAACAAAGAUAUGGUAUCCGAGAAUAGCUUUGUGCAACCUGCCAUUCCAAGGUUUGAUGGUCGCUAUGACCAUUGGAGUAUGUUGAUGGAGAAUUUUCUGAGUUCCAAAGAGUAUUGGAACUUGGUCGAGACGAGGAUCACUGCUGCAGCAGGAGUAUCAGGAGGUUCAGACCUCAGUGAGACACAGAAGAAGACCUAUGAGGAGCAGAAGCUGAAAGAUCUCAAGGCUAAGAACUAUCUGUUCCAAGCCAUUGAUCGUUCGAUACUGGAGACUAUCUUGAAGAAAGAUACGGCAAAUGAUAUAUGGGAUUCCUUGAAGCAAAAGUAUCAAGGAACAGUGCAUGUCAAGCGUGCUCAAUUGCAAGCUCUUCCCAAAGAGUUUGAAGUGCUACAAAUGAAGGUUGGGGAGUCGGUUAAUGAUUAUUUUGGCAGAACUCUCGUCAUAGCUAACAAGAUGAGAAUGCAUGGGGAGCGAAUGGAUGAUGUGAUAAUCAUUGAGAAGAUUUUGAGGUCUAUGAUUUCAAAGUAUGAUUACGUUGUUUGCUCCAUUGAGGAAUCCAAUGAUCUGGAUACGCUGUUUAUAGACGAGCCUCAGAGUAGCCUAUUGGUGCAUGAACAACGGAUCAGCCGACAUGUGGACGAUGAACAAGCACUUCAAAUUACUCAUGGAUCCCAGUAAGGAGGAAGAGGUGGAGGCCAAGGCACUUAUCGAGGAAGAGGAAGGGGUAGGUUUGGGUUCGACAAAUCUACCCUAGAGUGCUACAAUUGUCAUGAGCUAGGGCACUUUCAAUGGGAAUGCCCUAAGCGAGCCAAGGAAGCCAAGGAACAACAAGUGAAUUAUGCAGAAACAAAGGAGGAGAUAUUGUUGAUGGCUCUUGUGAAUUCCAAAGAGGCUGCGAUAGAGCACAUUUGAUUUCUUGACUCGGGGUGUAGUAAUCACAUGUGUGGGAACAAAACCAUGUUUUGUGAUCUUGAUAGCAGUUUUCGAGAAUCGGUGAAGCUUGGCAACGACUCGAGUCUUCCAGUACAAGGCAAGGGUAAGAUUCAAAUGGAGGUCAAUGGGUUUGUGCAUGUGAUCAUAGACGUCUUCUACAUGCCAGAUCUAAAAAACAACUUGUUGAGCAUCGAUCAGUUGCAAGAAAAUGGGCUAGCAGUACUCAUCCAACGAGGAAAAUGCAAAAUCUUUCAUUAUGAGAAAGGUGUAAUCAUGGAAACCGAGAUGACGCACAACAAGAUGUUUGUUGUGCUUGCUCGUUGCACACCAAAGGAACAACAAUGCUUCUCUUCACUGACUACAGAUCAAGCAAACCUUUGGCACUGUCGAUAUGGACAUCUCAGUUGGAAUGGACUUAAGGUGCUUCAACAAAAGAAUAUGGUGGUAGGGCUACCUCUGUUUCAAGUUUCUCAAAGAGUGUGUGAAGAUUGUUUGGUGGGAAGACAACACCGUGAUCCAUUUCCAACAGCAAGCAUGUGGAAAGCCUCCAACAUUCUUCAGCUGGUGCAUGCCGACAUAUGUGGACCAAUCAACCCGAGUUCAAACAGCAAAAAACGCUAUCUAAUCACCUUCAUCGAUGACUUCAGCAAAAAAACUUGGGUUUACUUCUUGGUGGAGAAGUCAGAAGCAUUCGCUACAUUCAAGUCUUACAAAGCAAGAGUUGAAAAGGAAACUGGGACAUACAUACGGAGCCUUAGAACAGAUCGUGGGGGAGAAUUCACAUCACAAGAGUUCACUAACUUCUGCAAUGAGAAUGGAAUCCAUAGACAGUUGAUGGCUGCCUAUACACCUCAACAAAACGGUGUCACGGAAGGAAGAAUCGCACUAUUAUGAAUAUGGUGCGAAAUAUGUUGUUAGCAAAGCAAAUUCCCAAAACCUUCUGGCCUGAAGUAGUAAAUUGGAUGGUGCAUGUUUUAAACCGAUGCCCAACACUUGCCAUGAAGAACAAAACACCUGAGGAGGCGUGGAGUGGGCAUAAACCAUCAGUGGACUACUUUCGAGUUUUUGGAUGCAUCUCACAAGUACAUGUACCUGACACCAAAAGAGUAAAGCUUGAUGACAGGAGCUUUAAAUGCAUAUUCCUUGGGGUAAGUGAUGAAUCCAAAGCUUAUAUAUUAUUUGAUCCUCUUUCAAAUAAGAUAAUUGUUAGUCGAGAUGUAGUAUUUGAAGAAGAUCAACAAUGGAAUUGGGAUGAUGGCCACCAACAAGCCAUAUUGCCUGAUCUCGAGUGGAAGACUGAAGAAGAAGCAGACGUGGAAGACGAGGGAGAUGGAGAAGAGCCUGAGGCCAACGAAAAAACUGGAGAAACUAAACCUGAGUCUAAUGGAAGUGACACGUCAAAUAAUGAAAGCUCAUCUCGUGAAAUACAAGUUCGGAGACCACCGGUGUGGAUGCAAGACUAUGAAACUGGACAAGGUCUUUCCGAUGAAGAAAGUGCAAACUUGGCAUACUUAGCCUUGCUCACUGACAGGGAUCCCAUCACAUUCGAAAAAGCUGUGAAGUUUGAGAAAUGGAGGAAAGCCAUGGACCAAGAAAUACAAGCCAUUGAGAAGAACGAUAUGUGGGAAUUAAUAGUGCUGCCAUCAGGAGGAAAACCAUAGGAGUUAAGUGGGUUUUUAAGACAAAGUUCAACGAAAAUGGAGAAGUGGACAAGUACAAGGCUCGGCUAGUUGCCAAAGGGUACAGUCAGCAAUAUGGAAUUGAUUACGCUAAAGUAUUCGCACCAGUGGCUCGGCUGGACACCAUUCGAAUUGUUAUAUCCCUUGCUGCCCAGAAAGCUUGGGUGAUUCACCAACUUGACGUCAAGUCGGCUUUUCUGCAUGGGGAAAUUAAUGAGGAAGUCUUCGUUGACCAGCCUCCAGGUUAUGAAAAGAAAGGGCAUGAAUCCAAGGUUUAUCGACUCAGGAAAACUUUGUACAGACUCAAACAGGCUCCUCGAGCCUGGUAUAGUCGCAUUGAGGCAUAUUUCAUCAAAGAAGGCUUCACCAAGUGCCCUUAUGAGCAUACGUUAUUCAUUAAAUCUGCGGGUGGAGGUAAGAUUUUGAUUGUGUGCCUUUAUGUUGAUGACCUUAUUUUUACUGGUAACGAUGAAGUGAUGUUCGAACAAUUUAAGAAAUCCAUGAUGAUCGAGUUUGACAUGACUAAUCUUGGAAAAAAUGAGGUACUUCCUUGGUAUUGAAGUAUUACAAAGGACAGAUGGUAUCUUCAUCAGUCAACGGAAGUAUGCUCAAGAGAUUCUGGAAAAGUUCAAUAUGGAUCAGUGUAACUCAGUACAUAAUCCAAUGGUUCCUGGCUUUAAACUCAUAAAAGAUGAAAGGGGAGUUGAAGUUGAUAGUACUGUCUACAAGCAGAUGGUGGGAAGUCUUAUGUAUUUGACUGCCACACGCCCCGAUUUGAUGCUUAUCGUUAGCCUGAUCAGUAGGUACAUGAAGCGUCCUACUGAGUCUCACUUAGUGGCAGCAAAAUGAGCUUUGAGGUACUUGAAGGGCACUGUUAGUUUUGGGAUGUUCUACAAGAAGGGAGGAAGUGUUCUACAAGAAGGGAGAAAGUGAAGAACUCGUAGGGUACACAGACAGUGAUUAUGCUGGCGAUCAGGAUGACAGGAAAAAUACCUCAGGUUAUGUUUUUUGAAUGAGCUCGGGAGUUGUCUCUUAAUCCUCAAAGAAACAACGAGUGGUCACUCUCUCCACCACCGAAGUUGAGUUCAUAGCUGCAGCAUCAAGUUGUUUAGCUGAAUAAGAAUUCUCCCAGCUUUCGUGCAUUCAAACCUUGCAAAGUUCUCUGCUAUCCCUUUGGUUCUAACACACUCAAGGUUCUUUGGCUAAGAAAGCUCAUAGGUCACUUUUCAAGGAUGAUUAACAAAAACAGAUUCAAUCAGAGGCCAUAGAGAUUGAGUUGAACAGAGAGAAAACGAGAGAAUUCCAAACAAAAUUCUAGAGAGAAAAGACUUACCCUGAAAUCAAAGCCAAUUGAAGAAUUUUCUUCGAAUCGGGAGAACGUGAUUCGCGUUGUGCUUCCUGGAAAAGUGGCCAGAGAGAACUAGAGCUGUGGGUUGGAACAUAUUGGAAGCAAAUGGCUUUUUCUGCCUCAUUCCAGGCAGAAAUUGAAGAACCCUAAUUGGACUAAACUAAGUUUAAUAAGGUUGAAUACAAUUGGUGGUCAUACAAACUAAUUUCGAGUUUAUAUGUGAAAAAUAGUCGGUACAAAACAAAACAACCUCGGAUAAACUUUGAUGCCUUCUGACUAUAAAACAGUUAAAAAUGUAUGUUUGGUAGAAAGCCAAACUAGAUGCCUAUGUAAAAAUAGUAGAUACCAGAAAAAUUGCCCAUGCUCUCUCCUGCAGGUUCUAAAACCGUAAUCCACAACAGCUACGACUCAUUUCCACAUAAAGAUACAAAAUCUGGAUAACAGCAACUAACGCAAAACCACCCAACUGUCCUUUUACAAACAGAACUGUUUACAAUAAGCAUAUAUAACAUGAUUUGGUCUGCAGUGCUUUCAGCAAUAGUUAUACAAACAAAGAUCCUAAAGAUAUGCAUGCAAUAUAAUGACUAUUACCUCCAAGUAAGCAGUUGCAUGGUUGCAAUCAUAAGUUGCACACAUCAUGUUCAAUCUGAUAGCUUUAGUAUAGCACUUGACAACAUUAUUUCAGGCUUUUCCUUAAAUGCAGUAUUUCCCUGGAAGAAGAUGAGUAAACAUAGAAAUUGAAACACUACUCAUUAGUACAUUGGUAUCACAGUUCUUUUGCUGAUAGAAAAUGAAAUUAAACAGAUAUAAGCAUAAUAUUUGACAAACAAAGCAAAAGGAAAGUUAUUUUCUGAUAUUUCAUUUAAUUAAGGGGAUGGAGAAAUCUAUUUCAAUUUUGAAGGAGAACACCAUGUACUUCAUUCAUAUCAAACAAUAGCAUGAUUCUAAUUUCAAUUUUGAACAUAAUAAAACAUAUAGCAUUUAUAUAUUACUUAAACUUCUUUCAAAUUUACUUUUGUAUUUAAAGAUCGUAUAUUUUAAUGAGUUUAAAUUGACUUUAUAUAUAAAUUAUUCCUUUUUAUAUUUAAAUAAUAAUGUACAUUGUAUAAUUACAGUUACAGUCCAUGAAUACAAUUAGAGGCCUUUGAAUUUCUUUGCAAGAGAAGAUUUAUACGGAAAAGCAACUGCAAAUAUAUAGACGGAGGGAAUUUGAGGUUUGUAGUUCAUCUACUCAGCAAUUUCUUACUAUAGAUACAACUGAGUAGUGAGAGAGCGUUAGAUAAUACUAUUCAAUUCCACAGGUAAUUAUAAAAAUAUAAUCAUAUAAUUUCUCACAAUAAAAAUCAAUGUGGCUAAAAACAAAUGAUAUAUAUCAACUUCGAUGAUUUCUCUAAUUUUCCCUCUCUUUUUCAGCAACCAAACAACAAUCGAAAAUUACCAAAAACUGAAAAAAUUGAAGUACCUGGGCCAAGUUGGAAUGCCUGGGUUGCCAUCUCCACUUGGUGUAAAAAAAUCAUGGUGGACAUCUUCAAGAGCACCUAAACCCUUCAUCCACAAACGUAUGUAAAAAAUCAACAUAAUAAUCUUGUGCUCCGGGAAGGAGAGUUGCAGAGAUGGGGGAGAAGAAACAAAGAAGAGGAAUGAGGGAGAAAGUUUGAAAGAAUGAGGGAACAAAAGGAAGUAGGGUGUGUGUGUGUGUGGAGUGUUCUCGAGAAUGAGAACUGUCACGGGGAGGAACAAAAGGAAGUGGGCCUGGGAGAUAGUACCCAACACGGGGGUAUUUUUGCAAACGGGCCAGUUCGGGUACCCAUUUUCCUAUACUCAUGGAACCGGCCCGAACCUAAAAUUUCAAAACCCCGCCCCACCCCGUUUCCCUUUUUUUAAAUUAGGAACCGGCCCGUACUCGCCCCGAACCUUUGAUUACCCGCCCCGACCCGUGGGUCCUGUACCCGUUUGCCCACCCCUAGCCUGAUGAUAGCGAAGGAGAGGGAAGAAAGGAGAGAGGUGACACGUCCCGACCUCGAUAUUCUCUGAAUACCCGGAUAGGCACGUGCUGGCCAACACUCGAGGGUGACGAAAACCAUUUACUGAAUACAAGAGUAAUGAUUAGGAGAAAAUAAACAUGAAUAAUCAUUAGAAUCAAAGGGUAAUAAACAAAGUUUAAGGAAAUGUCUAUAAUGCACAGAAUACGUUCUAAUUCAAGAUCACAAAAGGAAAGAUCAUUACAAGAUAUCACACAAGUGAUUGAUAGACUGCUACUGGUAGGGGAAUGCCUUGUACGUUAUGUCGAAGUCCUUGUUUCUAAGACCUGAAUGGGGGCGCAAAACAAAGGUGAGUGGACCAAGUUCAUAUAUAUAAUAAUAAUAAAACAGUUAUCAAGAUAUUAACCCAACAAUUUAUAUAAAGAAAACUACUAGCAUAAUAAGUGAUAGGUUUACUGAAAAUCCUAGCAUGCCAAAAACAUCUCAAAAGACAUAUCGCGGAAAUCAAAAUAUCAAUCGUCUCACAGAUCGUCUCGUAAGCGCAGUGUGCUGCCAGUAAGAUCACUGAAUAAAUAUAACUCUCGGCCCUAUGCCAGCACCGUGGUCUCUACGCUCAGAGCUAGAGAUUACCAACUCCCCGCUCAAUGCCUGCUCUGUGUCCCUCAGCCCGUAGCUAGGGAUUAUUUCUCCCGACCUAACUGCCAACACCAGAUCCUCGCCCCAGCCGGCAUAGUGUCUACUAGGUACGCACGAAUAAUUAUGCUUCUCAAAUAUAACCACUUCAUAGUAUAAAGUCAUCCAUCGUCUAUAUUAUAAAUAGGGGUUUUGAAAACAUGUUCUAGCAUCUUAUCGUCAUCCAUCAGAUAGUCUACCAGUUCAUGGUUUUUUUUAUAGAAAAUAUGAUAUAUUAAAAUAUAGCUCAAUAUAGGCCAACAAUUAAUUCCUUACAAAAUAACAAGACGAUAAUCAACAUUUCAAUAAACAUGCUUAACAUAAAAUCAAUUCAUAAACUCGUAAGGCAUGCAUUUCAUUUAUGCAAAUAAACUAUAUAAUUAUGCAAUUUUUAAAAGGCACACUCAUAGAUCCGUAGCAGCAGAAUUGUGCGGAAAAGGAUUAGGGAGGCCCCAACUAGAAACUUCACCUAAGCACAAAAAAAUGUACAAUUUAUCAAACUACCCAACUAUAGAAUUUCAAGAAAUGGAAAUGGGUCUUGGGUUUGGAUCCGGAUUAGGGUUUAGGUUUAGGUUAAAUAGGGUUAAGACCUAUUGGGUUUUGGGUUUGGAUAGUUUAAGAACAAAUGGGUGGUUUGGGCUUGAGCCCAAACCCACACAACACACAUACACAUACGCCAGCACACACACAUGCAUACACAAUACACAUGCACACAUGCACAGCACACAUGCACUCACAUACGCAUACACAGUACAGCACACCACACAGUACACAUACACUCACAUCAUACACACACACACACACACACACACACAUACUGUACAUGCACACACCCAUACACAACAACACACACCCACACGGGUGCACAGUAUACACAUCACACACCUACACACGCACACACGCACACACAUAACACACCACACACGUGCGCCACACACACAAACCACAUACACUCACACAUUCACACGAACACACCCACACACACACAUCGCAGCCCACACCACACAUACACUGUACUGCACACACACACACACACACACGACACUGUCCAACAAAUAACAAGGUAAUUAAUUACCUGGGUUCGAAUUCAAAGGGGUCCGUGCACCCACAGUAACAAAUUCGCCGGAGUUCGUCCUUUCACACUUAUCGUGAACUGGAAAAUAAAGAUUGAGGUGCAUGUAGGGGUUAUGGCUUGAAUAAAGGGUUCAAAACCUCAUCCCAGUUAUCAUAGAGACAAAAAGGAAGAGAUUAGAUGCACUAAGACACCCACCAGCUUCGAACUCGACGACAUUUCGCCGGAGUUUGUAGUCGGAGCUGGGUUCUUAGCAUAGAGAAGAGCUAAGGUCAAAACCCUCGAGUUUUGCCAUAAAACCAACAUCACAAAUCAUAAAACAACAUGCAUAACCCAGAAAUUUGAAGAAGGAACACAAGUCUUACCUGGGUUCGAGUUUCAGAGCUUUGAAGCUCUCGGCUUCAAUGGCAGAACAUUCAACAGUGCUCUGAUGGCGUAUGCAAAGGUAAUGUUGAGUUCGUUGAGUCUCAAGGAUUCCAAAUAUAUGAAUUUUUUGUUCGAUUUUGUGAGGGAGCUAAGGUGAGGGCUAGGUGAAGUUCUCGGAGCUGAGAGAGAUAGAGAGAGAGAGAGAGAGAGAGAUGGAUUUCAGAAAAUGCAGAGGGAGAGCUCAGGAAGAGAAGAAAGCUAGGGAGCUGCCACUUGGUAGUUUAGGAGGAAUGAGGUAACUAGAUCGACGGGUAGGAUUAAAUGAGAUAAAAGACUAAAUUGAUAGACCUAAACUUGUUUCAGGGAGGAAUAUAGAAAUAUAGAUAAAAAUGUGGGGGUGGGUAUAACAAGAGGUGCGGGAGAGAAGGAGGAAAGGGCAUUGGCUGCCCAAUCAUAAAAGAGGAAAAGGAGGGAAAUGAGGGAGGAGAGAAGGGGGGAAAUCGGAUCCCCAUUUUACUAGUGAGAAAAAAAAGUAAUGAAAACAAGCGUACCAAAAAUUCAAAUGUAUCACAAUCAAAUGUAUCAAAAAUUCAAAUGUACCAAGAAACCAAAUUACAAAAAAUUCAAAUGUAUACAAAAAAACAAAUGUACCAAAAAUUCAAAUAUACCAUAAACCAAAUGUAUUCAUGUUAUAAGUAACCAAAUGUACCGAUAUAACCCAACGUACUUAACAACGAGUUUUUUUUACAUUCUAUUUUAUUUACUAACAUAAAUAUUUCAAUAAAAAAAAACAUGAAUAGACUUCUAAGAAAAUAAAAUGAAAUGAUAUUAAGCAUCAAAAUUGUAGGAAAAAUGUUUAGUCAAAAUUUCAAAGGGAAUAGAUGUUUAAUCUAUGACAUUUAAAAACGAGGUAUCUAUAUCAAAACGUCUCUAAACCAAAUCACUUACUUUAGAAAGUAUCCAGAACUCGAAAAAUAGCAAUACUGACAUGUUCGAACUAAUUGAACUUAGGGUUUGAUGCUCUGAGCUGGUGAGUGUUGGACUGUAGUCACGAGUAAGGUAAAAUUCCUCAUAGCCUCUCCAGGUCCGAAAAGGAUAGAUAACCAUGGCUUGCCACCCGUUGUCCUCUUUUUAACCAAAAAAAUAAAAAACUAACCGAACUUAGUUCACCGUCCGUAAGAGAACUUCAAGGCACGAUACCUAUACGUUGGGACAGAUUGCAUAAGCAUGUUGAUUGUCUCUAUAUAAAUUACAUAUCUUGGUACAUACAUGAAUUCAUCAUCCAUUUGCUUUCAAAAGCACCAUAUAAAGGGAGAAUUUCGGAUUAAUCACUCAAUUAACAAAAAUUUAGAGCUAAGAGAACCACUCCUAAAAGGGAUUGUGCCAAAGAGAAUAAAAACUUACCCAUGGCCUCAAAUAUGUCUCCAAUUAGUCAAUUUAGCUCAUCCAAGCUCAAGAUAAACUCAACCACCGAGACUCUUCAACAAGGAAUGACCCCGGCAAUUCGAGUUAAACACUUGAAUCUCAAACUUGUUCGAAAAUGAAAUUUGGAAUUAGAAAAUUUAUUUACAUAUUCUGGACCCAACUCCAAAGUGAUCGGCCGGAUAUGGCGAAAAACCGCCGGAAAACGUUCAAACUUUGGGACUCCGAUAUCUGAGAAUGCUUGGUUUCAACGUGUGGUUAUUGGGUCAAAUCGAAGAGGGCUUCGAUACGAAUUCGUAGCCUCCAACCUUACGUUGCCGUAUGAGAAUGUUUAUAACUUUGAAGUGGAAAAGCGUAGAAUGAGAUGGGAAGAGAGAAGCAGCAGCUUUGCUGCUGGGGCAGGGGAACCUGCCGUUUUAAUAUUUACUUUUGUUGCAAAUUUACUCUUUUGCCCUUAAACUUAAAGCAUGCACUUCUUAAAACUCCGAUUUACAUUCCAUUUGCAGUCACGUGUUCGUGACGAGGAGUCCUAUAAGAAUUUGCUAAAAUAAUACUUCUUAUAUGUCACAAGCACAAAGAUUAACAAAGUCAACAUUCAGCCUCUAAGGACAUUUUGGUCAUUUCACAUGAAAAAUUAGGGACGGGAUGUGACAAAAUUGAAUUAAGCUGAUAGAAAGAUGGGUCUACCUAUGAUUUUAGAUAGUCGAAAGUAACCCGCUACAAUACACGGAGUGUCUAUAAUUUCAGACAGUCGAAAGUGACCCGCUGCAAUACACGAACUGACUUAAACGACGAUAUUGGUAUCAAGUAUCAGCGCCAUACUAAGUUACUAACGUUAUAUUAACGUAUUGAUACCAAAUAUCAAAGAUAUAUUAACAUUGUUUAAUAUCGAUGACAUAUCAACAUUCACUAAGUUUGGACACUUUUCGUCAUCCAUGAACACUUUGCCGAUAACGGCAAGAAGUAGCUAACAAGAUGAAGACUUCGGUAGAGAACGACAUCCCAUUCCAGAUAUGACGUAAUUUUUCUGUUUCAAGUCACCCAAAGGUUGUUGGCCGAGUGAAAUUUGGGUUACCAAUUUUUCAAUCAUGAUAUCGAUCUACCAGCUUUGAUAUAUAAAUAUUGUCAUUUCACUUGAAGCGUGCCAUCAUUUUUUCUACAUCCACAGAAUCCUGGCCAAAUAAAAAAUUGGUAACCCUGGCCAUUCAUUAAUCAACUGCAGACUGCAGCGCCCCUGCAAUUGAUACAAGACAAGAAUACCAUUGUUUACCUUUGAAAUUCAGGAAAUCCAAAAUCUUUGAAAAGCUUUAAGCUCGUUGAAAAACUGCGGAAAAUAUUGAAUGUCUCCAGGAUGACAUAUGCAUUGUGACAUUGACAAUGAAAAUCUGAGGCUUGAUUCAAUCGCUUCCUAGCCCGAAUCAAGACGAUGCGUGCUGAUGCACUUGAAAUGAAAUAGCUGCCUCAGUUACUACUUCUCAUCUGGUGGUUUAGCGGUCACAGUUUGAAUGGAGCUGCAGCAGUACAAAAAAAGUAAUUGACAUAAACCAUACUCGAAGAUGCUUAAAAAUUAGCUAAGACGGAUAAGACAUACCUUGUGAAUGUACAGGAUGUUCCUUUUACCACGACCUGCAACUAUAUAUACAAUUCCACUUGCUUCCUGUUAAACAAAUAAUUUCACAUGCAUAUGUAAAGUCUGGCCAUUCAUAAAUCUGGAAGUUAUGAACCAAAACAAACUGGCAAUGACAUGCUCAAUCAACUGCAGUGUCCCUGCCAGUAUGCCAUAGAUAGAAGCGACAAUUUUCAGCUUGAUAGCUUAACCUGAAUUUAGUCUGCAAUAGAAUUAAUAUAAGAAGAAUACCAUUGUUUACCUUUACAAAACAGGACAUCCAAAAUCAUUGAAAAGCUUCGAGCUCGUUGGAAAAUUGCUGCAAUUGAAUGUCUACAGGAUGACAUAUGCAUUGUGACAUAGCAAUGAAAAUUUGAGACUUGAUUAAAUCUCUUCCUUGGCCUGAAUUAAGACAAUGCAUACAUGCUGGUGCUCUUGAAAGACAAUGCAUACAUGCUGAUGCUCUUGAAAUAAAAUAGCUGCCUCAACUAGUACUUCUCAUCUGGAGGUUAGCAGUCACAAUUUGAAUUCAGAUGUUACUAUAUGAAAAAAGCAUUUAACAUAUACCAUACUCGAAAUGAUUGAAAAUUAGCUAAGGCGGAUGAGAGACAUACCUUUGGUUAUUUAGGAAAUAAAUAAUAAUGGUUAAUGAAGUAAAUAAAUCAAAUAGGAAUCAUUUCUUUGUUCUCUUGCUAAUACGUUCUCAAAUUGCUGCAAUAAUUGUUGACAGGUUGAAGCUCGGAUUGUUCUUCUUGCAGUUCUACGAAUGAUCAAAUAGAACUACAGCUCAGGUAUGAGAGGAUAGGGCUUUCAUUUAUUCUUUCUGAUUUUGGAAAGGGCAAAAAAUCAGACUUGAAUGAGAAAUGGAAGAAGAAACGUAGGAUCCAGAGUUCCGAACUUUCAGCACGCUGAUGCCAAGACUUAUUUAUGAUUUCCAGGGCAUUCAGUAAAAGAAGACAUGCUGAUUGUUAUAGGAGUCCACGAUGUUGAUGGAGGCUCAACUGCACAGAAUUUAGAGGUGAAAGAUGCAAUAACGAAACUUCUGCAGGAUGAAUUGGGGCUCAAGGUUCUUGCAACAGGACCUAAAACGGGACAAUAGAAGCGGAGACAUUACUGAUUCAGAUCAAGAUUAAGGAAGAGUUAGUCUGAGGCUCACCAUCAAUUCUUAAAUCUGGAAGUUGGAAACUAACAUUCUGGUAAAAAUUUGAUAUAACAGGACCAAAAGUUAAAUAUAAAUUUGAGGCACCCAAAUAAAUUGGAAAAUGCGAUUAAUAAUCUGAUACUUUUCUUUGUUCACUUCCAGCCCAGAAUAAUUCACUCAAAAGGAUAUAAAUUCACAUAGAUCAAUUGUAACAUAUAUAUCAUAUACCAGAAAUCAUUUUAAUUAAUUUCCAGAGACCAAUUCCCUUUCUCAGGUUCCAACCAGAAAUGUAGUACUUGCAUACUCAAAACAAAAUAUAAAACAUUCGUUUCUCACAAUCAGCUUCGGGAAUACACACACACACUUUUCCACCACCCUGAGCAAUAAAAAAAUGGCAGAAGCAACCGAUAAGGAACUGCUAAACAGAUGCCGUAUGUUAAUCCUAGCCGGCCAGACUUUUUCAACAUUUUCAGUUUGUUAAACAUCUUACCUGAUGACAACCUUUCUUCCUUUCCUCCAUAAAACAAGAGUAUUAUCCUAACUCUUUAUCUUUGUAUAUAAUAACUAUUUAGUAAAUGAUUUUUAAAGCAAAAUACUGAAAUGUCAUUGUACAUCUUUGAGAUGAUGCACGGUUAUUUCGUACUCAUCUGAACUAUAUUACAUAUACAUUCUUCAGAUAGACUUCCAUUGCUAGCAAGUCUUGCAUUCAGAAUUUCAAAGAUGCAAUCGAUAUGCAGAUCUUCAAAAGAAUACUUAAAAAAAUUAAGGAAUAACAAAACAGCAUUUGAGUUUCCAAGUCCCUUUGGACCAAACAUCUAAAGACGUGCUUAAUGUAAAAGAGAUUUUUCAGACCAACUUACAAAUACUUGGAUGAAGUAAUAAUCCCAAUUUUGGGAGUAAAGGAUAUGAAUUCACAUAGAACAAUUGUAACAUAUAUUGCAUAUACCAGAAAUCAUUUUAAUUAAUUUCCAGAGAGGGUUCAGGGUAUAUAGAAAUGGAAACAGUUGUUAACAAAUACUGUAGCUUCAACCGGAAUACUGAAAAAAAAUAAAGGAACAACAAACAGCAUUCGCGAUACAUCACAAAUGAAAGUAGCCUCUCACCGUGAGACUUCUUUUUCUCUCAACCAACUCUUCUCUCUUUUGGCCUCACUGAAAAUACAAAAAAGAUGAGAUUUUAGAAAUAUUUGGAAUCCAACGCAUACUAAACUUUGAUAACAGUAUACCUUAGUAUGCCUACUACACAUACUAUGACCGACUUCAUUUGUCAUUCCUUUCAAACCCCAAAUAGUAAAUUCGGGAAGACUUACCUUUCACUUCGUCAAUGGUGGCCAAACAAAAAUCCUAAACUUUGAUCUCUUCACACUUCCUUGUCUCUCAACUGUGCACUGGAAGCUCAACACAGGAAUUGUAGGACCCCAUAUGUACUCUCUAUACGAAAGCUGGAUUGAACAGAGAUACACAAAUAAGGAUAACUCAGUAGGAAAACACAACAUUUUGGCUAAAGCGAAGUUGAGCAGAUAGAAUACAAAUCAGAAAAUUAUGGAUUUUAAAACAACAAUUAUAUUUUGUUCAAAAUUGACUUCUGUCUCAAUUCCUUCCCACCAAUCAGGACUCUUCAAGCAGUAGUACAUUUCAGCCUAGCCGACAAUGAUAAAAAGUAUCCGUGCAUCAUUUUCCUUGUGCUUUCACUUUCAUGUUAUGUACGUAGUAAUUGUUUGUACUCUUCUCUUUUGUACACCCUUAACAUAAUCAAAAUUAGAAGAUUUUUCGAUCAUUCAGGGGGCUUAUCAAAUUUUCUUUCUAUAUUAUAUUUCACACAACAGAAAAAUGAUAAAAGCUAUACACUUUAUGAAACCAGAAGGUUCCUGAAGCCUUUCCUUCGAUGGUCAGCAAGGGACAACGGCAGAGAAAUUACUAUUAUUGGCAUUGCCUGGAAACUCUAAUGAUCCGUAUCUUCCAGUACAAUAAUUCUUUUCAGCAUCCUAAUUGAAUAAAUAAGACAGUUUUGACUUAUGAGCACGCCAAUGGUAUUUCUUUCUUUCUUUUCCAUAAAUUAGAAAGCUUUCCAAUGAAUUCGAGUUCUAUCACAACUGAAACAAACGUUUAGGGCUCGUUCGAUAAACAUUCAGGCUAAAACUUUAUGACAUAAAAUUGCACUGCAUGAUAUUAUUAGUAGAUCAAGAGACAUAAGGAUUUUGUUUAAAAUGUGGUUUAUACAUAACUAUCACAAAACCAAGUGAAUCCCACAAUUUAACUUCAACCAUUGCUAAUUUUUCCAACAUUAAUCAACAAUGCCAAUUUUUCCAUAAAAUGGAAAGCUUUCCAACGAAUUCGAGUUCAAUCACGAUUGAAACAAACAUUUAGGGCCCAAUUGAUGACCAUUUAAGCCAAAACUGAGCACACCUAAACCAUUCCUAUUUGUACCAAAUGUUAAACAGAAAGCAAUCACAAACGUGAGUCACUAAAGUACAGAUAGGUUAUUGAAAUUGAGAUGGCAGAAACGAAUUAUGAAUGGAAACAUUAAUGCCUACAAGUCAGAGGACAUUUGAAAGAAAUGGCAGAAAAGAAUUUGUGCCUCCAAAUACUAAUUCUUCCCCAUAACCUAGAAUUUAAAAUUACCAUUUUGUGCCAUUAGGAUGUGAAAACUCAAGUGGCAGGUGGCAGCAGUGGUAACAAAUUACAAUUCUAAAUCUAGGAACAGAAACUGGGUGAUAAUUAACCCAGAAUAUAAAAUCCAAAUAAGUUAGAGCAAACUUUACCUCAAAUCUUCGCUUCUCUUGUACUUCGGUAUUGUGGGGUUGAGUUGUAAAUGGUAAAUGAAGUCCUGAAAACCGAAGAAUGAAAAGCGUUCAUUCAGCUGAAGAAUGAAAAGCGUUCUUUCAGUUAACUAAAAAGCACUCGUAAACGGAGUGAGACAUCUAGUAACCACAAAAAUGAACCUUGAAAGCAGACAUAAAUAAACUUCAACCACAAUUACGUUAAUAAAUUUGGAUACAAAGGAAAAUUAAAUUUACUCAAUUUCGAUAUAAGGAAAAUUAAUUAAUGCUGGAAGAACAUUUGUGCCUCAAUGGCGUGAGAAUUUGUUUGGGCCCAAAAUAAUAGUUUGGGCCGAGGGUAGGAUCACUCUCGGCCCAGGAGGCCAGGCGGCAAAAGGACCAUGGAUCGGUCAACCCGUGGGAGUCCAAACCUAGGGCGGUUAGGACGAAUCCUAGUGCAAUGGGGAGUCUCGACGGGAUCGGAUAUCCAGGAAACUAAUCCAGCUUAGCUAAGGACUAGGUUCAUAGUCCUAGUAGGUGUAGGAUUGGUCGAGGUGAUCCGGAGAUGGAAACCUAGUCCGAGUAGGAUGUAAACUCGGACUCAAGGUUCAGUACUAUAAAUAGGGGACGCUGUGCAUCAGGAAAAGCCCCUACAAAAUCAAUACAAAAUUGCCCUGCGCAAACUCUCACAACUUGUGAUUUUUUCUUUUUCUUUUUCGUUGACACAUCUUCCGUUGGCAUCAACAGCACUGUGAAAGCAACCGGUGAUAUCUUAAGUCGGCAUAGAUAGCUCUGUCACCGUAGAAUCAGCCGAUCUCGCAGCAUCUUCCGUUGGCAUCAACAGCACUACGGCGAGGACGACUGGUUACCUAUCCAAGUCUCGGUCGAGAAGGGUUUCCGAAUCCUUAUUGGUCGAGGUCAUCUCAUCAGCCUUCUCGGCGAAGUGAGGUGUUACCAGGUUAUUGUAUUCGGCACGUUGAAAGCCGAAUUCGAUUCGUGAACUUCGCAUUUUAGCAGCCUUGUCUUCAGGCUCUAGAACCCAAGAGGCCGAGAAUUGUUCCUUCCUCGCCGCAAUCGCAAGACACAAAAGUCAUCAGCGCGCUCAACGCAACAUCAACAAAUUUACUCCUCGGCCGAGCUCGGCCGACGAGUUGGCACGCCCCGCAAUCACCGAAGGACGUAGUUAGCUUAGAAAAUACUCGGCCUGCGCGCCACGUAGGCUCUGUAGUUUCUAGGGUCAACAUUUUGGCACGCCCAGUGGGACCCAGUGCUAAACUACGAAGUUCAUGCCAAUUGAAACACGAUCGGUAAAAAAGAAAACAGCUAUGGGAAAGUCGACAGCCGAUUUGCCGAGUCAGAGCAUAGGACAGAGUGUGCCACAGGCGCAGAACCUCCUUAGCGCUGCGACACCUGAGUCCACGAGCGCGACUCGCCGAGAGAGAGAAGUUAAUCUCGGCGGUCAGCCCCGUGGUUUAGAGAUCCCCAACAGAAACACGUGCGUUCUCAAUGAAGGGAUAAUAGAGGAUUGCGACGAGGAUGGUGGUGAAGGAUCUGACCCACCAACGAGGUCGUUUCUCCGAAAGCGACUAGACGAGCAGUCUCGGUCAGUCGAGCAGACAUUUAGUCGAGGCAUCGACAAACUGCAUGAUGCGAUAGUCAGUUCUGCUGAGCGACAGAACAGGUUGCUCGAAAUGUUGUUUAGUAAAGUCGGUGGCAGCAGGCCUUCCGAUCUUCUCCAGCAUUGCCCUCCAGGAAACAAUCCGUUACCAAUUGUACCGGCCGAACCUAUUCCUGCUCGCCCCAAACCAAUUGAAUUGGAAAAAGGUGGAGGGUCGAACAGCGGGUCAGACGGAACCAACCAGAGGAGUGAAGCAGCACCUGUUGAUAUGACCGAAGUCCAGCGGAUGAUUGACUCGGCCAUGAAAAAGGGGCCGAAGUUUCCUAAGUUUAUCCAUUCGUACCCAGCUUACGUGGAAACGUUUGGAUACCCUAAAGGCUUCAAGAUUCCAGAUUUUAGCCUCUUUGCCGGUGAAUCGUCCUUAUCUUCGUUAGAACACGUGGCUCGUUUUACCGCGCAAUGCGGAGAUGUUAAUAGUGACUUUCAUAAGUUACGGCUGUUCAACUUCUCAUUGACCGGCUCGGCAUUCGCUUGGUACAUUAAUUUACCCCCCAAUUCCGUCCAGAACUGGGAAGAGUUGGUCGAGAAAUUCCAUGAGCAGUUUUAUCGGCCAGGAAUGGAGAUGUCAGUUUCUUCGUUAGCAAGGAUGGCUCAGGCAUCUGAUGAAUCACCAAUGGAUUAUCUUACUAGGUUCAAGUCAGCCAGGAAUUGGUGCCGAGUACCUUUACCCGAAGUAGAAUUCGUCAGGCUUGCUUUGAACGGAUUAGACGUCGAAUAUAAAAAGAAAUUCUUGGGGGCAAAUUUUCGGGACAUGUACGAAUUAGCCCAACAUGUCGAACAGUAUGACUAUUUGCUCCGCGAGGAGAAGGUUUCGAAAACGCCAUCUCGGGGGACGCUUUACAAGAAUCCUACUGUCAACUAUGCGUCCACCGAGGAUGAAUGUGUUAGUGUGGAUGCGGCCGAGAUAGUAAUAGAUAAGCCAUACGUUUGCAAGGCGUUGACUCAGGUUGAUUCUAGAGAAGUCAAAAGUCGCUCGGCUACCGAAGGAGCAUUGAAACCGUCGAAGGUUUACACUUUUGAUAUUACCAAGGCUGCCGCAAUUUUUGACCAACUGUUGUCCGCAAGAAUUAUCAAGCUUCGGCCUGGUCACAACAUUCCUAAGGCCGAAGAGCUUAAGGGAAAGGUGUAUUGCAAAUAUCACAAUUCGAGCAAACAUACGACAAACAAUUGUGUCGUAUUUCGUGACAACGUCCAAAGCUGGAUUGAUAAUGGUAAACUGAAAUUUCCCGAGAAGAAGAUGGGUAUUGACGCUGAUCCGUUCCCCACGGCAACCGUGAAUAUGGUCGAUGCGUGCCUCCCUAAGGACAAAGGGAAAGGGAAGGCCGAAGUCGUUACGACGCAACGUUUUCGGACUCAGAAUUCUCGGCCACGCUUCAUGGCCGAUUUCCGUUCAAACGCACCACCUACGGCUUUAACAGGACCCGCUGUUGUCAAACCUAUGAUGGAUUAUACUACCGAUGAAGACAGCGGGACGGCGGUUUUGUGCAGGAAAUGUAGAACAAAGGUCGAGAGAGUGAGCCAGAGGAGAAGCCCCUUUACUUGGGACGGAACGACCCGUGGCCGCAACCCGGCGGAAUGUUGCCAAGAUAGGCCAACAUCAAGGGGUUUUUGACAGGCUUGGUCCUAAAGUACGGAUGGAAGAGAUACCCCCGGUCCGGAGACGCCUCGAUUUUGAUGAUUCGUUCUAUGACGAUGAUUACUACAAACGCAAUUCUAGCAACUCAGAAUCAUCGCGGAGCCAGAAAACCUUCAAACCUCCUGAACCUAAAGAUCAACGGUGGUAUACAUAUCAUUCUUCAAGGGGAGUUUACACGGCACUGUCCAAAUCCCAGAAACGUAGGCACCAAAGGAUGGAUUGCAUGGCUCGCCGACGGGCAACCCAUGAAACUUCGGUCCCUAAAUGGCGGCCGAAGGACACAAUUGCUCCCGAUGAUGAGCGACCAAGUCCCUCUAUCAUGACAGAGUUGGUUCAAGGGAAACGGUUGGUCGACCGAGAUGUUGAAACUACGUUCGAGGAGGCUGAUAAACGGAUCAAACUUCUUCUUCGGCCAGGGGAGAUGAAGGCACGACUCGAGUUUUUCAGACAAGAGGCCGAAAGCAAAUUCGCACCGCCAGCUAUACAAGAACCUUUGAUCAAAAUUCGACGGAAUUUGCAUCCACCAUUUCUUGGGGAGGCCUUGGAAUAUAUGCGAGAAUUUCAUAAGAAGCAUUCGGCCAACGAUCUGUAUGGUUUGCCGAAGGCAUGCCAGGACACUAUUGAUCUGAUCCUGACUUGUCCGGAUGCCGAGCGAGUCAUCCAAAAGACCUCAGAUCCAGGAUUGAAAGCAAGGUUCCAGCAUAUCCGAGAAGCUCGUGUCUUUGGAUUUGAAGUUGACCCGUACACCGAUAUCGUUGCAGCUGACCUCCCUUUCUCGAUGGAGGACCUUCAGUAUUUACGAUAUCACUUCGAGGUAUUUUCGGCUGUUUCUCUCUUCGGCCUUACGGCCGAUGAAGUUGCACGUGUCGCACGUCUAGAUGCUUAUCUCGACAUCAGGGAUGCCCAGCUCCACUAUCAAGAGCAGGUUCAGGCUUUGGCCCCAAGAGCACUGUCAAUUUUGACCCUGCCUGAAGCGGUCGCACAGGACCAACAACUCGCUGAUGCAGCACCGCCGAAUGAAGCCAUCACAGAGGAAACAGAGGAGUCUUGUUGUCCAACUUUGACAGCAACGGAAUCGUUCGUUGCCGACCAACCGAGCAAGGAGGGUAUCGACCCAAUGGGCCCAUCAGUCCUGGAGAAUAUGGAAAUUAGUAUGGUCCAUGUGUUACCUGCCGAUUUUCAAUCACGCACGGCUCAACCAAAUUUCCUCGAUGGAGAUGUGGUUGCCGAAGAACCCGGCCAUAUUGAUUUUGUGUCGGUUGCUGAAGGAGAGUCAGAAACAAAAGAUGAUGGUUUAAAGGCUGCCUUGGCCGAAUUGUUCCCUCGUUCAUCGUCGGCCAAGCUUCAACAUUUAAAGCCAUUGUAUGUGACGGCCCACAUUGAGGGGUAUCCAGUUUCUAAAGUUUUUGUCGACUGUGGGGCUACCGUCAAUAUCAUGCCCCUGAACAUCAUGAAGGCCUUACGCCGUUCGAAUGACGAGCUUAUUCCGUCAGGAAUCACAAUGAGUAGUUUCGUCGGCGACAAAUCCCAAACCAAAGGGGUACUUCCGUUAACCGUCAAUAUUGCUGGUCGCACCCACAUGACCGCCUUUUUCGUGGUUGAUUCCAAAACCGAGUAUAAUGCAUUGCUCGGCCGAGAUUGGAUCCAUCAAACCAGCUGUAUUCCUUCUCCGUUGUAUCAAGUGCUUGUCUUUUGGGACGGCAAAUCGGUCACUGUUCAUCCGGCCGAUAGCCAACCCUUCGAAGCUAACAUGAUCCAAGCCCGGUAUUAUGAUGACCACGUAGGCUACAUUACAUUGCAAGGCUUCAAUGAAGACGGACGGCCGACUCGGAUUUCGGUUCAGAAAGCUAUCGAGGUUGGCGCCGAGACUGUCCACCAGGAUUCGGCGAGACUCGGAUUGGCCAAUUUUCUCCCCGAGUCUGAUGUCUGACACAGACCAGGACAAACGUAGGGUCGCGGUUUCAUCUACGAUGGAACGACUGCUGGCCCAUUGGUAUACUAUAUCUCGGCAACCGAAUUCAGGCGUUAACCUCGUCGAAUUCCUUGCCGAAGAGGAUCCUGGUCCUGCCCUAUCUUUUGAUCAAGUUCGAGCCGCCCCGGCCGAGCUCGAGGAUUAUCGGCCCCAAGUUAAGGACCCCCUAGAAGAAAUUAAUGUUGGGACGGCCGGUGACCCACGGCCUGUGUUUGUUAGCGCUUUACUUCCUCAACAAAUGAAGGACGAGUUGCAGGCCUUGCUUACGGAAUUCAAAGAUUGUUUUGCUUGGAGCUAUCAUGAAAUGCCCGGUUUAGAUCGUGCUCUGGUCGAGCAUGAAUUACGUAUUAAGCCCGGAUUCAAGCCUUUCCGUCAGCCACCUCGUCGAUUCUCGACCGAAGUACAACUCAGUAUCAAGGUCGAACUAGUUCGGCUUUUGAAAGCCGGAUUUAUUCGGACAGCUCGAUAUGUCGAAUGGUUGGCGAAUAUUGUUCCUGUAUUAAAGAAAAGUGGUGCACUGCGCAUCUGCACCGAUUUUCGAAAUCUGAAUCUGGCAACGCCCAAAGAUGAGUAUACAAUGCCGAUUUCAGAUUUGUUAAUCGAUGCCGCGGCGAAUCAUGUGAUCUUGUCCUUUAUGGAUGGACAUGCCGGGUACAACCAAAUAUUUAUUGCCGAAGCCGAUGUGCACAAAACUGCUUUCCGUUGCCCGGGGGCACUCGGCACUUACGAAUGGGUUGUCAUGCCAUUCGGCCUCAAGAAUGCCGGCGCCACGUACCAACGGGCGAUGAACACCAUCUUCCAUGAUUUAAUUGGCACCAUCGUCGAAGUUUAUAUCGAUGAUGUUGUCGUCAAAUCUAAACGCCGACAGACACAUCUGGACGAUCUCAGACAGGCUUUCCUCCGCAUGCGUCAGCACAACCUCAAGAUGAAUCCUGCGAAGUGUGCCUUCGGUGUAUCGGCCGGGAAUUUUCUUGGUUUUCUCGUACAUCAUCGUGGGAUUGAAGUCGAUGAGAAUAAGGCUCGCGCAAUCAUCAUGCUCCACCCCCAACAACGAAGAAGCAAUUACAAUCCUUACUCGGCCAGAUCAAUUUUUUACGUCGAUUUAUUGCUAAUUCGGCAGGUAAGAUGAAAGCGUUUUCUACACUUUUGAAGCUCAAGGACUCAGAUAAGUUCGUGUGGAAUGAGGAGCAUCAGGCGGCGUUUACACAGAUCAAGGUUUCUCUCACAAAUCCACCUGUCCUGGUCCCUCCUCGGCGCGGUAAGCCUCUCAAGCUAUACAUUUCGGCGGCCGAGGAGUCCAUUGGUUGCCUUCUCGCAAGACAACGAUGCCGGACGAGAACAGGCUAUCUUCUACCUCAGCCGUAAUCUGAGUCAUCCGGAGAUCAAUUAUUCCGCCGUUGAGAAGCUCUGUCUCGCCGUAUUCUUCGCUGCAUCCAAGCUUCGGCAUUACAUGCUCCCGUCGGUCACCCAAGUCAUUGCCCAGACCGACGUUAUCCGGUACAUGCUUACCCGGCCAAUUGUGAAGGGCCGAAUUGGGAAAUGGACGAUGGCGUUGUCCGAGUUCAGUUUGCAAUACGUGCCGCAAAAAGCUGUGAAGGGACAGGCAUUGGCCGAUUUCCUUGCCCAGCACCCUUCGCCUUACGGGUUUGGGAGUGCUGACGUCGAAAUCGGCAUGGUGGUGACCCGCGACAACUAUUGGACGAUGUAUUUCGAUGGUUCUAGUACUUCGUCCUCGGCCGGCGCAGGCAUCGUCAUUCAAUCUCCCCACAACGAUCGUUGGUAUUUUUCGCUCAAAUUGGAUUUCGACUGCACCAAUAAUCAGGCCGAAUACGAGGCGCUGGUCAUUGGUCUGGGCCUCCUUCUUGACUUACACGCCACUCGUGUCCUCGUCCUCGGGGAUUCUGAAUUAGUGAUUAACCAAAUUAAUGGAUCUUUUCGCUGCAUGAGUUGUACUCUGGCGCCUUACCACAUGGUCGCCAGCUAUUUGGCCGAGUCUUUUUGACGGUGUUACAUUCGAGCAUGUUUCUCGGGUUCAUAAUACCGACGCAGACGAGUUGGCUCAAAUCGCCUCCAGUGCACAACUCCUGGGGGGCAAGCUAGGCCGGGAGAUACCAAUAUUACGACAAUUAUACCCGGCCUUGGUUGAUCAGCAAAUCCUCCGUCGAGACAAUGUGAUACGCACCAGGGUCAUGUCCCUGCCUUCGUGUUGUUAGAUCGGCAGGACUCUAUAGAAAUUUGCGCGGCCGAGGCAGUACCAGAUGAUUGGAGAAAGCCCAUUAUGCAGUACCUUGACAAUCCUAACGGAAAAACAUAGUCGCAGGACACGGGUUCACGCCACGAAUUAUGUCACGUACCAGAACGAGUUGUACCGAAAGGGCGAAGAUGGUUUGUUAUUGCUAUGCCUCGGCCCCCAAGAGAGUGCUCGAGCGAUCGCAGAGGUUCAUGAAGGGGUAUGCGGAGCUCACCAGUCUGGACGAAAAAUGCGAUGGCUACUCCGACGACACGGUUAUUUUUGGCCGAGAAUACUGAAAGAUUGUAUCGAGUUUGCACGAGGAUGCGUGCAGUGCCAAAUCCACGGGCCUAUACAAAGGGUCCCGGCCGAAUCACUACAUUCGGUCAUUAAGUCGUGGCCGUUUAGAGGAUGGGCCAUGGAUGUAAUCGGCAAAAUCAUGCCGACUUCCGGAGCUGCUGCUAAGCAUGCAUGCAUGGAUAAUGGUCGCAACUGAUUACUUCACUAAGUGGGUCGAAGCAAAAUCAUAUGCCGAGUUAACAUCUAAAGAAGUUUGCGAUUUCGUGGAGGAACACAUUGUGACCCGAUUCGGUGUUCCAGAAACGAUCAUAACUGACAAUGGAACAAUCUUCACAGCCGAAAGGUUCAAAGAAUACACGGCCAAUUUAAAAAUUCGGCUGGAACAGUCCACACCGUAUUAUCCACAGGCGAAUGGGCAGGCCGAAGCAAGUAAUAAAGUGUUGAUCGGCAUCCUCGAAAAAAUAAUAAAAGAAAGGCCUGGCAUGUGGCAUUUGAAGUUAAACGAGGCAUUAUGGGCAUACCGAACGUCGCCCCGAUCGGCGACUGCAACAACCCCAUACGCAUUAACCUACGGACACGAUGCGGUGCUGCCAGUCGAGUUGAGCAUAAAUUCGUUGCGAUUAAUUGAACAAAGUAGUUUGUUUAGCGCCGAAUAUAAUCAGUCCAUGAGACAGGGACUGGAAGAUUUGGAAGAGGCACGACUUGAUGCUUAUAACUUACUGGUGGUACAAAAACAGAUUGCCGAGCGAGCCUAUAAUCAGAAGGUGCGACAGAAAACGUUCGGCGAGGGUGAAUUGGUGUGGCAAACGGUGUUGCCCAUAGGAUUAAAAGAUCCUAGGUUCGGCAAGUGGUCGCCGAAUUGGGAAGGGCCGUUCAUUGUGCAUAAAGUAUACGGCAAAGGGGCGUAUCAUCUUAAAGACCGGACUGGAGUAGUUCACAAAUUACCAAUUAAUGGGAAGUUCUUGAAGAAAUACUAUCCGGUCACAUGGGAAAUGCGUGAAUAAAUAAUUGUUGUACCAGUACAAAAAAAAUCAUUCCAUUAAGAUUGAUAGGUAUUACAAAAAUGAUUAGGUCGAAUACAUUCAAGGAGACGAGGGAAGAAGAGUGCUGAGCAGAGCCUUCAAUUCCAACCACCGCAUGUCGGCCAUGAUGACUUCGGCUUGCCGAUUCUUUUUGUCCAGCUUCAGCUGCUCGACCCGUUUUUUGGCCGCCGCAUACUCAGUUAGGCGAUCCUUCCCACCUGACUCGAAGUCCCUCGCAAGCUCAGAAGCAAUGGCCGACCGGCGUUUUGCUAGUUCGGCCAUCUGACGGUCGAGCUCGGCCAUCUGACGGUCGAGCUCGGCUAACGCUUCUCCUUUUGCCCGUAGAUCGUCAAUCUUCGGACGGAGGGUGUUUUGAACGGCCGUGGCGGCUUGCAGGUCUUGUUCGGCCUUCAGCGCAGUCUGGAAGAUACUAAAUGUCUCCCGAACGCGCUCCAAGGCAGACGAUGCCCGAACAAUGGCAUCUCCGCUCAGGCGACCGUCGGCUCCAAGGUCGUUCAGACACACGCCGAGCAGAUCAAGACCGUUGCGUUCAAGUACUUGCGAAGAUGAGAGCGACAGGACUUCCCGCAACUGGGUUAAGGCGCUUGGAUCGACAGCCUCAGUCGGAGCGGCCGAAGGGCCGGACUCUGCAGUCGUGCUGGAAAGGAGGGCUUUGAAUUCAACCUCCCAUGAAGCCUGCACGAAUAGACAAGGUUAAGCUUAGAGGAAGUCAUGACAAGAAUAGCAAAAAGGCGUCAUUUUUUUAACCUGCCGAGAGGAGACCUCGGCCAUGUCCCCAGGAUCGUUGCUCGAACCUAAAGAACUCAAUGGCCAAGCCCAGUGUCUCAGAUUGCUUCUCACUUCACACGCGGCCUAUGGAAGUUAUCUACGUUUGAUGGCCACUGAGGCGGCCAGGAAAUAUAGAUAACGCCCUUCGGCGCAUAGAAUUGACGGUGAAAAGAAUGUACAGGCACCUGACAUUUAGUAUUUUCCUUGUUUAGAAUUCUAAAGCAGAAAAGCAAUCAGGAGGAGACAAUUGAAGGUACUUACAAAAGCCGAGGUAACCUCUUGUGGAGGAAUGUGGAAGCCUUGGUCUUGAGGAUGGACCGGCGAUUCCGCCGUGGCCUCGGGUUCCUCGAGCAGCCGUUUGCCACGGUCGGCUGCCGAUGGGCCGACUGGCGCAGCUGCUUCAGAGGAGGCAGGGACGUCCUGGUCCUGAGAAGGAACGAGAGGUUCGGCCACCGGGGUUGGUUCCUCGACCGUGCGCUUGCCACGAUUAGCCGAGGAGGGGCCGGUUUGAACCGCCAUCUCGGAUACUGGAGGAGGUUGUCGACGAGUAUGAGGACGAUGCGCCAGCGGGACCUCGUCGCUCCCCUCACUCUCUUCCAACACGAGGACCGAGGGCGUUGGAUUCUUGGGAGAGGUUCCCUCGGUCGUAGAAACCGCCUGUUGUGAGACAGGUGCCUUCUCGAUAGAGGGAGGGACAAUUGAUGCGCCGGCCACAAAGGCAGGCCGCGCUGGGGCCGUCUCUGCGGCCAAAGCCGACUGUUUCUCGACCCCAGAAUGACCGGCGGCGGGAGAAGGGGAAGCACUGGGAGUCGUCGUGUGACUGGAGAUAACGUGGAUCUCCGGUGCACCUUUCUUCGCCAUUUGUUUAACCCGCUUAGCAGGCGGGGAAGGCUCGACAGCCGGCUCGGCCUCUUGGCGAGGCCGUUUGAUCAGCACGGCCCUACCAGCGGGUUUGUCCUUUUGGGCCACGACCGAUUUUUUCCCGGCCGUGGCAGCGGCAACUGCCUCCGUCGUUCUCAAAGGCCGAUUACCUAAAAAGAUAAAGACAAUUCAGUAAGGCAAAUCAAUAUGCAAGGUUGAUGGAAAGGAGGAAAGUGGAACAGGUACCUUGAGGAUGAGGGGCCGAGGCCUUCUUAGGCCGGUCACCGAAGAGUCUGCUAAGCACCUCUCCGGCCGGCGCACCAAAGAAUUCCUGGGUGUAUUUCUCCCACCAUUCACCAAAGGUGUCGGUGCAAUGGGUUUCCGGGGUGGCAGGUCGAAGGCGGAAUUUUUGGCAGCGCUCUUGGAACUCCCUCACGGCGGUUCUACACUCCUUCUCAGAGGAACGAGGUUCGCGUCCACGGCUUAGGACCGUUCGGGAGGAGAGAAGGGGGAUAGGGCAGCCCUGAAGGUAGCCGAGCUGUCGGGCAAGGAAGUUCGGAUGAUAUACUUCCCAACCUGACCGUUUCCCAUCACAACCGAGAGGGAGGUCGCGGGCAAGCACAAACGCCCCCCAGGUCUGACGAAGAUCGGCAUCUUCCUCUGCGCUCCAUGGGGAGGUAGGCAGCCUGAUGGAGGAAGGGUAGUCUCGACGACGACAUAUUAGGAACUCGUCGUUGGAGAAGUCGUCAAGAGCGAAGAGGUACCGAAAUACCUCUUCGGCUUGAUGGGGAGGUGUCGGUCGAGAGGCCAGUUGAGGCCCAAGCGCCUCUGUUGGUGAGAAUUCAGCUAUGGCCGGCCGAAUGGAGGCAAAGUAUACCUGCAACCAGAGUUGGAAGACCCAGAGAAGGACCAUUCUGGUGUGGGUCGACCUUGUGGAGGGUCGCCUCGGCCAGGCAGCGGAAAAGUUGGGCGAGAAUGUUGGAACUCAGUGCCAAGACGUGACCACUAGCCAGGGCUUCGGCUACCGGCAUGUUCUCGACCAAACACUUGUUUGACUUGGUACAACAAAUGUAUUUGUUGUACCAGUAGAAGAGGAAGGCUUCAUGCUCUCCCUCUCGCAGGUCUCCUCUUCUCCUCGGCCGGCGAAGUGGAGAUAGAGGGUGUUGUAAUUACAGAAGUUCUUGUGGAGCUUCUGAAUAUCUUCCUUCGACGGGAUAUGACCGUCACGGUUCAAGGUCUCGGAGGCCCGACGGUCGAAGAGCGUUUUCAGGUCGAUAUUCGACGGAUGCCCAGAGAGGGUCGCGUCGACAGGGAUCCCGGUCGCCGAAGUCCCCCAGAAUGGCAGUGAUAUCCAGGAUGGUGGGACCAAUGGGACCCAGAGGAAGGACCAUUGUGUUGGUGGCCGAGCACCAGAAGCACAGAGCGGCUUGGAGAAGCUCCUUGUCGGGGACAAUUUCCAUAGACGAAAGGAGGAUGGCGUCGUAGAUGCCAAGGGCCUUCCAUUGCUCGCCGAAGAGUCGUUCCAUUCGAACGACCCAGGCUGCCCAGGAUGUGGUCGUCGAGGGCCAGAAGCCCUGGGGUUUAGCCGCAUCCCAUCGCGACCAUUCAAACCCUUGAAGCAAGGGUGUUAGGCAGUGCUCCUGUAGAAGGCCGAUGAUAGUCGGCGGUAUUGUAGCCUUGAAGAGAGGACCCAGGAUUUGGUACUGGGUGCUCAUGUCGUUUUCAAACCGGAUGGUCUUGAUCGAGCUCCGAUCAAAAAUCUUCUGAUGUUGGUCACAUUCCCUGGAAAGCUUGGAGAUGAAGGACGCCAUUGUGAGAAAGAAGCACGGAGUAAAAGGGUUGUCUGGGUUGGGGACUUAAAGACGAAGACUUGGAAUAAGGGAAAUGCACUAGAAAUCAACGGCAGAGGAUUUCAGGAGGUUUGAGAGCGUAAAGGUACAAAUGAGGGAAUUUCGGUAUUUAUAGAGUUAUAGGGGGAAGAGCAAUCGUUCGAAAUUCAAAACAAAGGGCAAAAUCGACCGAAGGAAUUGUCGAUCAUGAUGAACAUUUGGGAAAUGCGGUUGAGAAGACCGAAGGUCAGGGUUUUGGGGGCGCAGGAUUGCGUGUGACGGCGAAAUUAAUAACGAAAGACGGUUCGACGCCCGCACGAUGACAAGUGGGCUCACGGACUGAGGUAGUGGCUCGCGGAUUGAGAUAGUGGUCAUGAUGGCAAGACGGUUCAGGCUGCCGCACGCCUUAGACGUCAUUACGGGGGAUUGGCCAUGUUAGAAGACGCCACGUGGCGAGUGGGUUAGCAGGUUCAAGAUCGUGCGAUCGUGCUCAAUAAAUGCGCCUUGGAACUCGGGUAUUAGGAUCCUGAGUGGUAGAUUCGCUUCUUCAAGGCCGAAACUCGGCCGAAGGUUUCAGGCCGAGGACCUCAGAAGCGAGGGGGCAAUGUUUGGGCCCAAAAUAAUAGUUUGGGCCCAAAAUAAUAGUUUGGGCCGAGGGUAGGAUCACUCUCGGCCCAGGAGGCCAGACGGCAAAAGGACCAUGGAUCGGUCAACCCGUGGGAGUCCAAACCUAGGGCGGUUAGGACGAAUCCUAGUGCAAUGGGGAGUCUCGACGGGAUCGGAUAUCCAGGAAACUAAUCCAGCUUAGCUAAGGACUAGGUUCAUAGUCCUAGUAGGUGUAGGAUUGGUCGAGGUGAUCCGGAGAUGGAAACCUAGUCCGAGUAGGAUGUAAACUCGGACUCAAGGUUCAGUACUAUAAAUAGGGGACGCUGUGCAUCAGGAAAAGCCCCUACAAAAUCAAUACAAAAUUGCCCUACGCAAACUCUCACAACUUGUGAUUUUUUCUUUUUCUUUUUCGCUGACACAUCUUCCGUUGGCAUCAACAGCACUGUGAAAGCAACCGGUGAUAUCUUAAGUCGGCAUAGAUAGCUCUGUCACCGUAGAAUCAGCCAAUCUCGCAGCAUCUUCCGUUGGCAUCAACAGCACUACGGCGAGGACGACUGGUUACCUAUCCAAGUCUCGGUCGAGAAGGGUUUCCGAAUCCUUAUUGGUCGAGGUCAUCUCAUCAGCCUUCUCGACGAAGUAAGGUGUUACCAGGUUAUUGUAUUCGGCACGUUGAAAGCCGAAUUCGGUUCGUGAACUUCGCAUUUUAGCAGCCUUGUCUUCAGGCUCUAGAACCCAAGAGGCCGAGAAUUGUUCCUUCCUCGGCCGCAAUCGCAAGACACAGAAGUCAUCAGCGCGCUCAACGUAACAUCAACAAAUUUACUCCUCGGCCGAGCUCGGCCGACGAGUUGGCACGCCCCGCAAUCACCGAAGGACGUAGUUAGCUUAGAAAAUACUCGGCCUGCGCGCUACGUAGGCUCUGUAGUUUCUAGGGUCAACAGAAUUACUCAAAACAAACAUUGUGAUGUGCAAACGGAAAAUGACCAUGCUCACCAACGUAUAUUUGGUGACAGAAAACUUAUACAGAAAAUGACCAUGCUCUCCAAGUCCAACCUACGCGUUGGCAUUCUCCUUUCCACUUCUCUAUAUGUGAUGUGUAAACCACAUUGGUUGUCCGACUAAGACAUAUAGGGAAAAAAAUUCGGUGCUUAAUUAAAUAAUUUUUGCAUGAGUUGUUAAUUAUAGUAGGUCUAAUUCUAAUUUUAAAAAUCUCAACCCCAAGUAUAAAUAACAUCAGUGAAAAAUUAGGUACAUGGGGAAUCGUGUAGUUAAACAGAUUAUUAAUGGCUAUAAGUUAGAGGACAUUUGAAAGAAAUGGUAGAAAAGAAUUUGUGCCUCUAAAUACUAAUGCUUCCCCAUAACCUCGAAUUUGCACUCACACUCCUCACUCAUCACUCAAACAGAAGAUUAGAUUAGAGUUUAUUAGAUUUUCAGGCUCUACGUGAGUGACUCUGUGUGAGGUGUGUCAUCAGAGCAUGCAUCCACUCCAUUGACAUUUUAUGCAUAUAUAUAUAUAUAUUCGAAAAUUUGAAGUAUCUUAUUUGUCAACAAACAGAGGAAGCAAGCAUACAUAAUCCUUAAAUACUUGUUGAUUGCAGGGCAAGCAAGCAUCAUAUUAGUAUAAAAAAAGGUCGUACCCAGUGCACAAGGCUCCCGCUUUACGCAGGGUCUGGGAGAGGUGAAUGUCGGCUAGCCUUACCCCCAUUUAUGGAAAGGCUGCUCCCAAGUCUCGAACCCGAGACCUACCGCCCAUGGGCUACAUAAUAUCCUUAAUUUAACCCAAUUUUAAAUGACUCAAACCUUUCCUCCAUACAUCUUAAUAAAUUAAGUUUCUAUUAAUUCUGGUGUAUUUUGAUUUUCCCUCUCUUUGUUUGAUUUCAGCUCUAGUAGAACAUGCUUUGUUAUAUUAGAUACGUCUGCUCAAAAGGAGGCGGCUAGAGCCUAUAAACGCUUAUAAAGAAGAUAUUCCAUAAAGUUUCCAUGUUGAGUUAUGAUCAAGGCAGAGUUAGAGUCAUAUCAGGAUCACUACAGGUUCUGGGAAAGGAUUGCCAAAAGAAAGCAUGCAUAACUUCUCCUACAAUUACCUAAGCAUCCUAUUAAUAUAUGUGACAUGUUACAGAUACUACAAUCUGGGUGCCCGAAAAUAUGUUAUUGCUGCAGAAAUAAUUUAUGUAAGCCAGUUGCAGCUACAAUUUGAGGAAAUAUACAAAGCCUAAUAAAAAAGUUCGUAACUUCAAAUUAUCUUAUCAUACAAUUUGGUGGAGCAAAAACUAAAACUACCAACAUCAAUAUGCAAUGUUAGUCAGAAAACAACUAUUUCAUAUUCAUAACCAUUAACCUCUAAUGCUCUGAGCAAUCUUAACGUUAGCCUGCAAAUUAUCCGACCCCUACCCUGCGGAGGUAUUAUAUGAUUAAUUUGUCAACCAAAUAGAGAUCACUUCACCUGACAUCAACCAAUAAGAAAUACCACUUGUUAAAAAAAAAAAAAAACCAAUACCUGUGCUCUCUUUUUGUGAUAUCGCAUUGCAAUUUUGACACCGUAAUAUCAUAAAACGUCGAGCAAAUGAAUGAAUGUGCACUUCCAAUCAAACAUCCAAUCCUUUGUCAUAUAUCUGCAUGAUAAAAAUGUAAACUACCCACUGUAGGGGCGAUUGGGAGAAACGAAAAAGCAAAAAAGAAAGAAAAAUCACAAGGAAUUAUUAACUUUUGGAUUCACAAGUAAACUUAAAUCAACAACAAAACCAAUACCUCUGAUAUUUUUCGUGUUUGAAAACAAAGCAUAAACCCUAAACAAUUAUUCCCCUCACCAUAGCCUUGUUGUUUUGGUAUAUGUUUACACUGAGAAGGAAAGGAAAGAGCAUCAUGAUAAAUUUAGUCCCAAUUUAAUCCCAAUAUACUGGGAACGAUUAUAAUAGUACAGAUUAAAUAAACGCACAAUCAAAGAAAAUCAAAGGUUAUUUUUGGAUAGAAAAAAUAAAAAAUAAAAAAUUAACAGGAAUUAGAAAAAUUAACAUACUCUUUACCCUAAACUGGAGUAAAAAUCGUCCACCGAUAAAUGAUUUCAAUAGUCUAUCAUCCUUUUCGACCACAAAAUUUUCCAGAGCUUCAAUUAACUUUGUAGUCUGAAUUCAUUUUGUUAAAUAUUUUCAUCCUGGAAAGAAAAAAUUAAACAGAGCAACAUUCCCAAAUUAAAGACACAAAAAAAGAACCCAAAUUAAAAUCUUGGGUUAAAACCCUAGUUCUUGAAAUUGGGUACCUGGAGAACAUGGCAAUGAAGGUGACGGCGGAGGCGGAGAAUGGCAGAAACUAAGAACGGCAAAAAAGAGAAUCGAAAAGCACAGAAAAAGCGGAGAAGAAGUCGAACUGCAGCGAUGAUGAUGGACGCAUGGGCUAGGAGGUAUAUUCUAAAUGAAUGGCAUAGUCGUAAUCAAAGUGAAAUCAACCCAAAAUUACUGUAGUUGAUAAAUUUUAACAACUUUCUGGAAAAUAUAUUCAGGCAUCAAAAUUUUCAAAUUUUCCAAAAAGUUGAUAAGAUUUAUGUUUGGUAGGAAGAUAAACCAGAAGCCUAUGUGAAACAGUAAAAGUAAUAGAUACGCAUUGAAAAGCCGAUUGAAUCCAAUCAAAAGAGAGAAGCUUACCCGCAAUCUGCUUCAAUGCAAUGUACCGACUCCCAGCCAUCACCAGUCUCCAGGAACUUAUACAAAAUAACAACUUUGGUCAGAGUUCAGAAAAAGUGAUAGGAAUAAAAAGCUCAGUUCUGUUUUUAAAAUGUUUAGAAAGAAUAAAAGAGUACCUUUAGAAGAAUGACUGAUUUGAGUUGAAUAAUGUAAUAAUCAGCUACCCCAUCACCACCAUUCUAAGUAAAUUACAGAUUUAAACAUAAUAUGUCAGAACUUGCGCAUAAUUUAAACUAAUUGACUACAACAAAUGGUACUUUAAAAAAAGUUACAAAUACGCAUGUAUGAAUAUGAAGAACACUUCAAACUUAGAGAUGAAUUGUCUUCUUUUUUUUCUUUUUGAACUACAAAUUAACAAGUAAUUCAGUUUAAUAAAAAGUAAGAGAGGAAAAUAGAAUAAAUUGUGCGUAAUUCAUUUAAGAAUGGGAAAAAGGGAAAAAACAUACCAAUAUUUGGAAUAUGAGAAAUCUUGUGCCAUUCCGGGCCGCUCUCCUCGUUGCAUCUCUCUUUUAGAACGGAACAAUUACAAAUGUCUAUUGUUUUUAAUUUGGUGAGGCAUUUCAUAGCUUCAGCUGUAGGAAAAUAGUUCAGAUUCAUGCAUCUGUCUAUACAUAGGGACUGAAGAGAUGCAAAGUUCCCCAACCACUCGGGAGAUAAGAAAAGGUUUAGCUUCUAUCUGAUUUCAAUUAUACAAUUGACCGCUGUGGUUGAAUAUAAUCAUAUUAUCAUUAAAUCCCAAUAAAAACAAUAACUCUGAGAACUAAAGUUUUGAAGAAAAGGGGUUGUAUCACUGUCCAUCAAGUUUACAAAUCAAGGAAAUAAACAAUUUACAAUUUAACACAAUGGGUUUUAUUUAUUACUGAUUAAUA
Molecule: long non-coding RNA, 65906 nt
Filed under: Malus domestica (apple)
Lineage: Eukaryota; Viridiplantae; Streptophyta; Magnoliopsida; Rosales; Rosaceae
Description: long non-coding RNA (MDOM_LNC011429)
Source: RNAcentral